AGAAGCGAAGACGAUCCAGGUGAGCGAAGCCGCGAGCAACCUCGUGUGCGAAGCCAGGAAGCUCGGAAGCGUGAUCAACAUGGAAGCAUGAUUUGCGGGGCAAUGUGAGAGCGCAAAUCAUGGGGCUGUCGGGGAGCAACAAAAACGUGAUCCAGAAAUGACCAAUAUGUAAAGAAUAUUAUAAGGAUGUAGUGGUUGGAUAGGGACAAGUGUGUAAAGAGUAAAUGUGCCAUGGGGACUAUAAAAGUGGCACCUCACCCCAGUGUAAAGGCGUUAUGCACUAAUCAUACGAAAGCGACGAUGCAACUUCCAUUUGUGUUGUGUCUGACUUCGCGAGAGGCUUAGACCCAACAUUUGGCACCCACCAUGUUUUAAGCCACCAAGAAAUCCACGAUGCUGCCACAGAGAAAGAGAGCUACUACAGAAGCCAAAGCCACAGAGGAAAGGUAGAUCAUUUCGUCAGAGCCAGCACAACAGGUCUUGAUAGAUAGGGAAGAUAGAUAUAAUAGAAUAUAAGACGUUCUAAGAGCCAAGUCACUGAAGACAAUCGCCGCGCAAAAUGCCGCAAACGAGGACCAACUGCAGGCAGACAUCGAAGAUGAACGCUUGAGUGAUUCGGACAACGAGCUAGCUUUUGUCCUAAGGCAGUUGGAGGAAAUGAAAGGGCAGAGAGAACAAUUCACAUAGCAACUACAGGCUCAAAGAGAAGCAGCCAACAAGCUUGCAAUGUUGAACGAAGCUAAAAGACAAUUAGAAGAAUUGCAGGGAGAAUUGAAAGAGCUAGAAUACCUUCAGGGCACCCCACAACAGCCAAUGCCACCACCUAAUCAAGCUUUCAACACCUGUUCCACACAAGUCAUUUACACCAACCCUAGCUUCGGCCAGCACGAUCCACCACCUGUAAUGAACAUGUGCAUGGUCAUUGACAAGAGCUCUCCGCUGUCAAUUGGAAUUGAAACUGCCCCAUGGCCAGCAACAUAUAAGUCGGUAACCUUGCCUAAGUUCAAUGGACAAACAGAUAUGCGUCAAUUCUUAAUGAGCUACGAAGCUGCAGUAGCUUCAGCCGGAGGCGACGAUGUCGUACUCGCGAAAUUGUUUAUCAUUGCUUGUGAAGAGGCAGCUGUGAACUGGUACUCAUUACUUCCUCCACACUCAGUAUGUAGUUGGAUAGACCUAAAAACGAAGCUAACUCAGAACUUCCAAGGUUUUCAUCAAGCCCUAAACGACGAGGCCGACCUUUUUCACUGCAAGCAAAAAGAUAAGGAGCCCCUCGCCAGUUAUGUCAGGAGAUUUGUUCAGCUUCGGUCGCAAACACCACACGUGGCUGAUAGCGUUGCGAUCUCCGCUUGAAUCUUGGGACUCAACCCAGGCCCGACAGCCUCGAAGCUGACACGAAAGAAAACUGUAACCAUGGAAGCCCUAUUCAUGGAGCUGGAAAAAUACAUCAGAUCAGACAAAGACCACAGAAGAAGAGUGGUGGAAAGAAAUAAUCAAAGGCAAUCAGAAAAAACAGAAAUUGGCAAGCUUUGCCCUACAACCGCAACCAAAACUAAAACUUCAAUCACAACUAAAACUCCAGCCACAGCCAAAAUCACCACCACCACCAAAAUAAUAACCACCACCAAGCCAACCAAAUCAUGGCAAUUGAAGGCAAUCAAUACCCAAGUCAAGGCUACAAUCACUAGCAACACAACCGAAGUCAGAAUAACUUCAGCAACAGCUAGAAAGGAGGCCACUCGUGAAGGAGGAGAGGGCGAGCUAGCACUCCUUUGAAGGCAACCAAUAACAGGCAGCCAAGACCACUAUACUGCACGUUCCGUGGAAAACAGCUGAAUCACGGCAUGGACUGGUGCCCAAUCUCGCUUGAUGUUAAGGCAAAAAGAGAAGCUGAAAAGAAGGCCGUAGAAGAGGCAGCGCUCGCAGCAGCUCAAGCACCCAGAACCAUUCAUCACACCACUUUCCUCACAAACUCACCAUACUAUCCAAACCAACCUAACCUUGCAGGUUUUCAACAGCCAAUGGCCUGACAACCCUCACCUUUUUUCCAUCCUCAGUUCCCUGUAGCGUCACCGAACCAAAAUCAACCACACCCACAACCUCGACAUGAGCUACCUCCACCGCCACCAAACCUACCCAUUGAAAUCCCAAUGGCCGAGCCAAACCCACCAAACAACAACCCAAAAGCUAUACCAACCUAUGGCAUGAUAAUGCCAAUAUCUGGAGGAUCUUCGCAGUCCAAACUUCGCGAAAGCAGCCCCAACGCCAUAUCGACUUUCGGAAUGAUAAUGCCGACCACUGGCGGAAAUUCACUCGAGUUUGACAACAAGAGAUAGAAGCGAGAUUACUUCAGACAAGUAAACACAAUCAUCCCCAAUGGGCCUCCAGCGAAACCAGAAUGGGCCCACAUACCAAUAACUUUCAUUGAGGAGGAUUUUAAGCUCAAAACAGCAUCGCACAAUGAUGCAAUGGUAAUUGAGGCAAUCAUAGCCAACUGGCAAAUAGGGAAAGUACUGGUUGACACCGGUAGCUCGGCAGACAUCAUCUUCGCCAACACUUUCAGAGAAAUGAAGAUUGGUCCUCACCUGCUUGAACUGCCCGAAGUUCCGCCACUUGGCUUCGGUGGAAGGCCAGUAAGAGCUCUGGGAAAAAUCUCAUUGCCGGUCUCAUUCGGAAACAUCGACAAUGCAAGAAUGGAACGAAUUACCUUCUAUGUGGUCGAGAUGCACUACCCCUAUUUUGCCAUCCUUGGUUGGGGCUUCAUCAAAUUUGAUGCAAUCAUCAGGCAGCUGUUCCUUUGCAUGAAAAUACCAACCUUGAAAGGGAUCAUCACUAUGUAUGGAUAUCAACAGGCGGCAAGAAACAUUGAAAAGGGCACAACUCCGGGACAGAAAAAUGUCCAUCAUUUAGCCAACCAAAGCAAAGCCGACCAACAAGAUAAAAAGAAGCCUUAUGUCGAGCCAAAGAGGGACAAAGAAAAGAUCAAAAUCAGCGCCGAUGGCGAAACCAAAAGGGUACUGCUGGAUGGAUACGUCGAGGACAGAUAUGUCACCAUCGGGGCCAAUCUCGAGCCCGAAGAAGAAUAUGAGCUAAUCAAGUUUUUGAAGAAGAACAACGAUGUCUUCGCUUGGUCCGCGGGUGAUCUCAAAGGGGUGGAUAGAGAGAUAACCGAACAUGGCCUUGACAUCAGGCCAGGUGAGAAGCCAAAGAAACAAAAGUUGAGAAAAAUGUCUGACGAAAAAGUUCAAGCGGUGAAAGUAGAAGUGGACAGACUGCUCGAAGCUAACGUGAUUAGGCCGAUCCUCUACCUAGAGUGGUUGGCAAAUACUGUCCCGGUCAAGAAAAAGAACGGUAAAUGGAGAAUGUGCAUCGACUUCAGAACAAGGUUUGUCCCAAAGACGACUACCGGCUUGAAAGAGUAGACAAAGUCGUGGACGAUGCUGCGAAUAGUGCAAUGCUCUCAUUACUGGACUUGUUCUCGGGCUAUCACCAAAUAAGAAUUAAGGAGGAUGAAGGAAAGAUAGGUUUUGUAACUCCAUUUGGAACAUUCUGUUAUGUAAGAAUGCCAGAGGGGCUGAAGAACGCAGGCCAGACCUUCUCUAGAAUUAUCGCCAUUAUCCUCGCCAAGCAGCUUCGUAGGAACAUACUUGUUUAUGUUGACGACAUAUUCGUCAAAAGCGACAGAAGGGAUUCGCGAUCUCGCAGAAACUUUUGCUAACCUAAGAGUAGCGAAUUUCAAAUUAAACCUAGAGAAGUGUGUCUUCGGGGUGCAGAGAGGCAAGGUUCUAGGAUGCUUGGUUACAACCAAAGGCAUUCAGGCCAACCCUGAUAAGAUUCAAGCACUUCUCGACAUGAAGGAGCCUCCUUCAGUCAAAGAUGUUCCACGGUUAACUGGGAGAGUGGCUGCACUUAACAGAUUUAUCCCUCGCACUGCAGAACGGAACUUACCUUUCUUCAAGGCUCUACGAAGCUCCAAAACCUUCUGUUGAUGCCAGAUUUUGACACGUAUGGAAUCGGCGUCAAGAAGGGAAAGAAUCAGCUGAUGCGGCGAGGCACGGAGGUCACGAUUGGGAAUCGGCCGAUUGGUGCUACAGUUGGGGAUCGGCCGAUUGGUGCUGCAAUGUUUCGACGAAGGGAGUUGAUGAAAAUCGGCUGAUCGACAGGCUGGAAUAGUUUGGCCAAUAUGGCUCAGGGUGGAUUACGAGGAUAAAGGUGGUCGGCCCACAGAACACAGCAAUCAACUCCGAUACGAGUCAUACUUGUAAAUAUUCGUUUUCGUUUAAAAUUAGAGAUAGAGUCCUAGUCGGUUAAGAGAUUGUUUGUAACAGGCUAUAAAUAGCCGCCUUCAAGUAAGCGACUUCGCCAAUACUUUUCUUACUUUCACGAGUUCGUGCGGGUUGGCGGGGCUGCAUCAGCUUGAUCUCCGGCCGAUUCUGUAAGUUCCGUUUAUCGAGUAAUAUCUAAGCUUUAACUUCGGGCGCAUCGCUGUCGUUUCGUUUAGGUUUAUUCACUAGUUAUCGAUAUUCACUAGAAUUCUAGGUUUUACCUGUUAAUCUAGUUUUAUCACCAGUUAUCCAGCUUGAAAUUAGAACUUUCGGCUUACUUAUAUCCUAUUGCUUAAUCUACUACCUUGUGCAUAGCCGAUUAAGAUCUGUUUCUAGUGUUGCUACUGUAGCGUUGUUUAGUGUACUCUAGCAGUAUUCUUCACCAACGUUAUCUGGUAAUCGGCUGUAUUAUAGCCGAUUUCUUUAUUAUAGCAAAUCGGCCGAUUCGCUGAUAAGCUUCCUCGAGAUCGGAACCUUAGCUGAUCGCAACCUCUGGGACCUGACACGUUUCUCUCCUUGCCAAUCAACAGGUCAGAUUGGCUGGCACGCCGCGCGAACCGCACCAGGGCGAUCACCCGAACAGCAGUUAAGCAGAUUCUCCCGGGUCGUGUGUCCGACGCUAGAGAUUCAAUCGGCUGAUUUCUAGCGCCAACACACUUUUGGCACGUCCGGUGGGACCAAUACAACCGCUACCAUGUCGAAAGCUGCCGAAAUCUCGGGAGACAACGUCAUCGAGGUAACUGAAGCAGACCUCAAGGACGACCAGAAGGAAGAGUUGGAGAAGCAGAUAGCAUACUACCGGAAGACGUGCUUACAAUCCUUCAGUCGUACCAGGAGCAGGGAAACUUUCAGGAAAGCUCCUUUUCCAACUCCCCGCCAGAUUACAAUCGUCGAGGACUCGGGCAAGAUGUCCGAGAUGGUUCAACAGUCCGUCUAUCAAGCUUUCAUUGAUCAAUCCCCGGUGAUAACUGAUACGGUAUACAAUGCCGUCAUCAGCACCUUGGCCAACGGCGUAUCCCAAGGAUACCAGGGGUCGGCAUACCCAUCACAGCCCCGGUCAGAAGUUCUCCAAGUAUACCCUACUCGGCUCCUCAGCCGACCCAAGCUCAGACUGGGGGUUCCAGCACCCCUUCAUCGUCAAUGCAUCUGGGGCAUAACGGCGCACCAUAUCUCCAGCCACAUGCGCUGCCCCAAUCCAUUCAGUUAUCCUCCGCGCAUUUGUCUUCUCUGAAUUCAGUGCCUUGGGGGGCACCAUCGACGACGGCCGUCCAAGAUCAAUCGGCUAGCUAUGGAAGCUCUUCGAUCCAGGCACCUUUCCAAUCGGCCGUACGACCGAUGAUUCCACAGUAUCAACCAACCGCGCUGGAGAUGGGCAGGGGGGCAGAAACAACGGAAGCAUUUCGGGGCGCUGCACCGAUUGUACUAUAUGAUGAAACGGCCGGUUCACUGAAACAGCCGAUGCCGACUACACAGCCAGUCGCGUCACCCUAGGCGCCGCACGCGUUCGUCCACCACCCUGUUAUUCCACCGCCGAUCUACCAACACGUGCCGGUUCCCCAGCCGAUAGUUCAUCAACAACAAGCAGACUGGACGACACGGAUAGCAGAGGUGAUUCAAGAACAAUUCCGUUUAAAGCCGAAGGUGCAAACCUACACAUACAGAACGCCGUACCCGCCUACCUAUGACUUACUGCCGUUUCCCCAUCGGUACAAAGUUCCUGAUUUCACCAAGUUUUCGGGGCUUGAUGAUACCUCAACUGUGGAACACGUAAAUAGAUUCAUCAUCCAAUGUGGGGAGGCAGCUACACAAGACGCUCUACGGGUACACCUCUUCUCGUCAUCACUGUCCGGGUCGGCCUUCCAAUGGUUUACUACACUGCCACCCAACUCCAUAAUUACAUGGGCCGACUUGGAGAAGCAGUUCCACAAAUACUUCUACGCGGGGGUACAUGAGAUGAAGCUUUCAGACUUAACCAGCCUCAGACAGAGGAGUGAUGAGCCGGUGUCCACAUACGUGCAGCAGGGAGAUCAGGAACAAAUGCUACACCCUAGUCGUAACCGACGCACAAUUGGCCGAUAUAGCCUUCCAGGGUCUCCUGCCUCAUAUCAAAGAGAAAUAUGCUUCACAGGAGUUCGAGAGCCUGAGCCAAAUCGUACAUCGAUUGUCUGGUCAGGAAGUACGUCCCAUUGAUCCACGGAGGAAUUUCCAGAAAAAGGUGGCGUACUUAGAAGGGGCUGAGUCCGAAGAAGAAACAGAAGUCGGCCUGGCGGAGUGGGUUAAAGGGAAGAAGCUGAUAUCAUGUCCGUUCGAGAAAAAGGAGCCGGAGGCAUUCGGUUUCGACACGUCAAAGGCCGAUAAAAUCUUCCAUCUCCUUCUCCAGGAAGGACAAAUCAAGCUCUCACCAUACCAUACCAUCCCAUCGGCCGAACAGCUAAAUAAGAUGAAAUAUUGCAAGUGGCAUAAUGCCACCUCCCAUGAUACGAACGAAUGUAAAAUCUUCCGAUAGCAAAUACAAUCGGCCAUUGAGCAAGGCAGGCUCAAAUUCGAUGUCUCGACAAAGCUAGCAAAGCCGAUGAAGAUCGAUCAGCAUCCCUUCCCUGCCAACAUGGUUGAUACAGGAAGGAACUCACUCCAGACCAAGGUGCUAACGUCAGAAUCGGCUAAAAAGAGCGGCGCCGUAGACCCCAGGAAUCAAGCGGCGCCCGAAGACAUCAAAGGGAAACGGCGGAUGGAAGAUGAAGGCGAAGGAUCGGGAGAACCACGCCGGCCCAUCACCUCCCAAUUUCUACUCAACAAGUAUCAACGGCAACAAGAAAGUUCAAGAUUCUGAGAAGAGAUGAUGCGACGACAUGAAGAUCACUAGCGAUGCCCGUUCUUCAUCCACUGCUGGGAGAGUAACCUUAGAUUGCCGUCGGCCGACAAUUGCCCCAAGUGCAACGGCCCAUAUCGUAACAAUCGGCCAUUUAGAAGAUGUCGCUCCAGAGAUGGAAGGCCAGAGCCGAUCAGUAGAAACUGGCGCGAGCAAGAGGAUCGGUGCCUUUCAGUGCGUGAUCGGCUGGGGGGGCAGAAGUGAUCGAUAUGAUCAGUCAGAAGACAGGCGUGAACGAAACGAUAGGCCGGGGGGCAGAUUCGAUCGACGCGACCAACCAGAGGGCAGAGCUAGCGCACACGAUCGGCUGAAAGAGAUGGCCGACGCUCGGGUAUCAGAUGAAAAUCCCUUGGGACGGGAACCAGAAUGGGAACAAGCCAGGCCGUCGGCUAAACCAGUAAACCCCAGGUGGUGUCCUGAUGGAUUGACCAAAUCACAAAAACGAAGAAUCCAGCGUCUCCGCCAAUGGGAACAACAGGAAGAGGAGCAACAACAGGUGAUGAACAAGAAAAAUGAUAGGCCUCGGGUGUGGCGCCCCAGAAGAAAUGACAGGGAGGGCGAUGACAACCAAGGAUCGGCAGCCGAUGUCAGCAUGGUGUUCAUUCUGCCGAUGGAAUUCAUGACUCCUGCCGACCAACAUAACAUGUCGGCGAUAGAAGAACAGAUGACGCAAUUGGCUUUGGAGCCAAUGACAGCCACAUUCGUGAAACCCGAGGACGAAAAACAGCAACACCUCAAGGCAUUAUUCCUCAAAGGACAUGUCAACGGCCGACCCGUCACCAGAUUACUAGUAGAUAGAGGAGCUGCUGUCAACAUCAUGCCGUACGCCAUGUUCCGAAAGCUAGGAAAAGUGACGAUGAUCUGACCAAAACGGACAUGAUGCUCAAUGACUUCGAAGGCAACGUGUCUCCCGCCCGCGGCGCGCUCUGCGUCGACCUCACCAUCGGCAGUAAGACUCUUCCCACCACUUUCUUUAUUAUCAAUGGCAAAGGGUCUUACAACAUGCUACUCGGCCGGGACUGGAUUCACACAAAUUGCUGCAUCCCGUCUACAAUGCACCAAUGCCUCGUGCAAUGGGUCGGCGAUAACAUCGAGGUGGUCACCGCCGAUUCCGCGUACAGCGUCGCGGCGGCCGAUGCACAGCAAUGGAGCUGCGAGAACGUCAAGUGCAUAUCCGGGAGAAUUUGGGACACUGAUUUCCUGAAGGUGUCCGAUUUUGGUCUACAGCCGAUCCGAGCAGUCGGCUCCGAAGAUUCAGAUUAAAUGGAUCAGUUCAUCCGGGAAGACGGGAAGCUAGGGCACGGGUUCACGUCGGCCGAUUCAUCAGAGAUGAUAGAUUUAGGCGAUGGCACCAAGCCAAGGCCGACGUACAUUAGUGCUAAUUUGGAUCCGGAAUACAAAUGUAAAUUGACAAAUUUAUUGAAAGAGUUUAAGGAUUGCUUUGCUUGGGACUAUCAUGAAAUGCCGGGAUUAGACCAAUCCAUUGUCGAACACCGGCUGCCCAUAAAGCCGGGAUAUCGACCAUAUCAGCAACUUGCGCGACGAUGUAAUCCUAAAAUCUCACCUGAUAUAAAGGCCGAAAUCAAAGGCUGAUUGAAGCAAAAUUUAUUCGGCAGUGCCGUUAUGCCGAAUGGAUCUCCAACAUCGUGCCCGUAUACAAGAAGAACGGAAAGCUACGCGUGUGCAUUGACUUCAGGAACCUUAAUCAGGCUACGCCGAUGGACGGAUACCCGAUACCGACGGCCGAUAUUUUAAUAGACACCGCCGCGGGUCACAAAGUCAUCAGUUUCAUGGAUGGAAACGCCGGAUACAAUCAAAUACUAAUGGCCAAAGAGGACAUAUCGAAAACAGCUUUCAGGUGCCCAGGUCACCUCGGAUUGUUCGAAUGGGUGGUAAUGACUUUCGGUUUGAAGAACGCCGGCGCUACGUAUCAACGAGCCAUGAACUACAUAUUUCACAAACUUAUCGGCAUACUAGUAGAAAUUUACAUCGAUGAUGUCGUGGUCAAAUCAAAAGGACACCAGGAACAUCUGGCCGAUUUGCGGCAAGUGUUGGAAUGCACGAGAAGGCAUGGGUUAAAAAUGAAUCCGAACAAAUGUGCUUUCGGCGUAUCCGCCGGACAAUUCUUGGGUUUCAUGGUUCAUGAGCGUGGAAUAGAGAUCAACCGGAAGACUAUAGCGGCUAUCAAUAAAGUCGUGGCCUCGCAGAACAAAACCGAGUUGCAAUCCUUGAUCGGCAAGGUCAAUUUCAUCAGAAGAUUCAUAUCCAACCUGUCCGGAUGUAUCCAGGCCUUCACACCGUUAUUAAAAUUAAAACCCGACCAAGAAUUCGUGUGGGGGAGAAGAGCAAUGCAAAGCUCUAGAAGACAUCAAGCAGUACUUGGCCUCGCCUCCCGUGUUGGUCCCACCACAAACUGGUAAGCCGUUCAAGCUGUAUUUAUCGGCCGAUGAGCGAGCUAUCGGGUCGGCGUUAAUCCAGGAGUUUGAGGGAAAGGAACGAGUAAUAUAUUAUGUUAGCAGAAGACUUUUGGACGCCGAAACAAGAUAUCCCCCGGUAGAGCGGCUAUGCUUAUGUCUUUACUUCUCAUGCACCAAGCUCAGGCACUACUUAUUAUCGGCAGAAUGCGUAGUUGUAUGCAAGGACGAUGUAGUAAAGUACAUGCUGUUAUUGCCGAUUUUGAAAGGAUGGAUCGGAAAGUGGAUUUUGGCUUUAUCGGAGUUUGAUCUACGAUAUGAAUCGGCAAAAGCCAUCAAAGGUCAGGUUAUGGCCGAUUUCAUCGCCCAGCACCGCAGACCAGAAAUCGCCGUCGUGGAACCAGUACCGUGGACCUUAUAUUUUGAUGGCUCGUCAUGUGGGGCCGGAUCAGGAAUCGGCAUCGUUCUCAUAUCGCCUCGGGGGGCAAGUUAUGAUUUCUCUUUGCCGAUAGAAGCAUCCACCACCAAUAACCAGGCGGAGUACCGGGCUGUCCUAAAAGGGUUACAAUUGCUAAGAGAGAUUAAGGCCGACGCCGUCGAGAUUUUUGGAGAUUCCAUGCUCAUCGUGGACCAAUUUGAUAGGAAGAUCCGAGUACAAGGAUGACGUGUUAAGGAUUUAUUAUGAAGAUUGCCUCCAGCUUCUGAAAGAAUUCAAAUCCGCGGUUAUUGAGCAUAUCCCCAGGGAUUAUAAUGAAGAGGCCAACAGGCUUGCCCAGCACGCAUCCGGGUAUUGGCCGAUUCAAGGUGCCAUGGUUCUGGAACUCACGGCCGACGACUGGCGAAAGGAGAUCGCCGAUUAUUUGAAAGACCCGUCUAAGAAAGUGGAUCGGCGAAUACAAUUUCAGGCCACAAAAUAUGUGUUACUGGAAAACGACUUGUUCUACCGGACGAUUGAUGGUGUUCUACUCAAAUGCCUAGGGACGAAGGAGGCAAAGACCCUGAUGGGAGAGAUCCACGAAGGUGUGUGCGGAGCUCACCAAUCGGCACAUAAAAUGAAGUGGAUGAUCAGGAAUAAUGGGUAUUACUGGCCGACAAUCCUUGAGGACUGUUUCAAAUGUUAUAAAGGAUGCCAAGAUUGUAAAAAAUAUGGGAACGUGCAACGCGUGCCCGCAUCGGCUAUGAAUCCAAUUAUCAAGCCAUGGCCGUUCAGAGGUUGGGGAAUAGACCUCAUCGGACAAAUUUAUCCUCCGUCAAGUAAAGGACAUAAAUUCAUUCUGGUAGCCACAGAUUUUUUCACCAAAUGGGUGGAGGUAAUUCCAUUAAAGGCCAUAACGUCGGCCGCUAUGGUCGAUUUCGUAAGGGACCAUAAUGUCUAUCGUUUCGGCAUCCCUCAGACUAUCACAACCGAUCAAGGGACGAUGUUCACGUCGGGAGAGUUUGAGGAGUUCACGGCCGAUAUGGGGAUCAAGCUGCUAAAUUCCUCCCCGUAUUAUGCUCAAGCUAACGGCCAGGCCGAAUCUUCCAAUAAGGGGAUAAUUAAGUUGAUCAAGAGGAAGAUUGGGGAACAACCCAAAAAAUGGCACUUAUGUCUAACCGAAGCUCUAUGGGCAUACAGGAUGGCCUGCCACGGGGCUACUAAGGUGUCCCCUUAUCAACUGGUGUACGGUCAUGAGGCGGUAUUGCCGUGGGAGUUGAGAACAGGACAAGACGUACGUUGCUUCAAGAUCAGCUGACGGCCGAUGAUUACUCCUCGCUCAUGAAGAGAGAACUCGACGAUUUGGCGGGUCAGCGUUUGAGAGCCUUGAACAGUAUUGAGGAAAACAAAAAGAAAGUGGCCAGAUGGUAUGACAAGAAAGUCAAAGUCAAGCAGUUCUCCCAAGGGGAUUUGGUAUGGAAGUUAGUGCUGCCGAUUGGAUCUAAAGAUCCUAAAUUCGGUAAAUGGUCUCCCACUUGGGAAGGGCCGUAUAGAAUCGGCCGAUGCGCUCCGGGAAACACGUACAUUCUGGAAACAAUCGAAGGGGAAGAAUUUACUAGGGCAUUGAACGGGAGGUACUUGAAAAGAUACUACCCCAGUAUAUGGGUCGAUGCAUAAAAAUCAUUAUGAGGCAUGGCAGGACAGAACGGUUGUUUCCUGGAUAAUCAUGUGGCCGAUGCAGAAAAAGGAAUCGCCUAAAGGAGAAAAAUAAUCGUUCAAAUUGGCCGAUUUAUCAUUUGGUACGGACGAUGAGUUACACGGCCGACGCGGUACAAGUCGCCCUUAGAACAAAAAAUACUCAACUGCUUUUCUUCUUGAGUUCCCUCUCAAUCCGACCUAAUUCUAUCAAGAGGCGGGUGCUUCGUUCUUCCACAUCUCUCAUCGCGGCCUCCGCCUCAACCUGGCGAGGAAGGGGAUGGCUCCGAUCCAACACGGGGCGAGAUGUCCCCGCCGCGGCAUUUUCAAGGACAACCGGACGAGGGAGUGGGUGGCUCCUGUCAACUUGCGGUUGCCUGUAACCGUUGCCAUCAAUGAAGUCCCAAAUCCGUUGGACGUCGGCGGGAACGUGAUCUCUGAGUUCUUCACGGUGUGCCUUGAUCAAGUCCCUGUCCUCUUACGACAAUGGCUCAUCAAAGUGUUUGAGUUCGAUCGCCCAUUCGAGUUCGGGGCUAAGGCGCCUUGGCUGAAAAGGUUAACAUAUAACUGCCUAAAAGUUAGGACGAUUUAAAGGAAUAAAACUGAAAGAAGCGAAGACGGAUCUCGUACCUGAUUGACAGAAGAGGAGGAGAAAGAAGAAGAUGAAAAAGACAUGACUGUGAAUGUUCCAAUAGAAACAUAAUCGGGGAGAAACGAAUCAAGUGGAGCAGGUGUUCUCAAGAGCGAAACCAGGGCCGGUAUUUAUAAGAAGAGAAAGGGUGGGGGUUUGGUAAGAUGCGUCCCGUCAGAGUAAAAGGGGUAAUAAAUAAGAGGACGCCACGAAGGACGGUCAAAAGGCAUUAAUGUUCUUACAAAACGGCCAGUACUUUUACAGAUCAUCCCAGAAGGGCGUUAAUGGCCGCGAUCGCUCGACGCCUGAUCUGAUCGGCCGAGUCUAAGACUCGCUGGUCAUCCUCCGUCGACCCUGGAACUUUUGACAUAUGGCGAUGAAGUUUGAGGGCCUCGUGGGCCAGAUGCUGCCUCUCCUGCUUUAAAUCGGCAAUAACGGAGGGGAGUUCCUGAAGCUUCUUGUUUUUAAUGGCUAUCUCUUUGGUUACUUGCUCCAUCUCCUUGGCAAGUUCCGCCCUUCGGCGCUUGGGACGAUCUAUUGUGCCGACGAGUCCAGGUCGGGAGUUCUCGAGGAAGUGAAUGCGAUGCUGUACCUCCUGGGCCCGAUGCUUGUACGAGUCCUCUUUCUCGUGAGUCUUGGCUAGCUUGGCACGAUCGGCCAUGUGACGCAGAGCCCUAAAGACCGGGAUCCGCAUCGAUUCAAUAUAAGCGGCGGGGGCCAAGGCUUCUUCUGCUUCCUCUGGGACUCGGCCGCUGACGUCACCAAAGAGCUGCCGAAUCGGCGAGGCGUCCUCCACCAAUCGGCUGAUGUCUUCUUGAAGAAGGGACCGUAUACUUUCAAGCUUAGCGCGGACGUCAUCGGGGACGGAGCUCAAAGUGACUUGUCGAGAAGCGACUUCCUCGUCAUCAGAGAGCGCGACCGCGAAUGAGAAGAGGCUAUUAUUGGGAGUAUCUUGUUCCUGCAAAAUGAUAAAUAAAAGGAAAAUAAGUCAGCCAAUGGUGGUAGCAAAUCGGCCAAUGCAGGUUAAAUGACUUCUUACUUCUUUGAAGCGGAUCUCUUCCAUCUGCGUUUGCGGAACCGCUACUCUCGACUCGGGGACUGGUGCAAUUGGCUCAUCGGAAGAAGAGGAUUCGACAACGAUCGGCGUUCUGCUCGGGCCGGCCUCUUGAGGGACUUCUCUGACAGGUGACUGGUCGGAUGGCAUAGUUAACGUGCUGAUAACCUGCGUCAAGGUUGGUAAGAUCAUCAUUCAGAUAUUAAAGAAUUGAGUUGAGAGAUCAUGUACCUCAACGGGAGGGGGGACUGGUAUUUCAACUUCUGCUUGGGGCAUCACCGAUUGCUGUGGAUCUACUGGGGUAAUCUGUGCGGCCUAAUAUAGGAAAGGUCAGUAUGGAAAUAACAACCAGGAGAGAUCAGAUGACGAGUUUACCUGCAUGGCUUCCACUAAUAAUGAUGCGGCAGCCGCUCCGGCUUCUGUAGCAGCUUGGAGGUAAACUUCUUCAGCGACCGGGAGGGUCGGCGCAGCCAAAGUUUCCGCCGAUACAACCGUGGGUGGAUCGGCCGAUUCUGUGUGGGCGCGCACCCGGCGGCUUGUUUUCUUGACAACUUUCUUCUGUGUUUGCUUCAACCGGCCAGCAAUGUUGUCAACAGAGGGAGCAUGAUAGCCGAUAAGGGGGAACUCCGUGUACGGGUAACGGUCCUCUAUCGGCCGACCGCUCCGGCUACGUUUCGGAGGAGCACGGCUCUCAGACUGAAAGAAACAAAAAGAGUCAGUAGCAUAUAAAAGGAGGGGGUUGGAAAUCGGCUAAAGAAGGAGCGAUACCUCUGCGUUCGGGUCGAUGUGGUUGGAGACCAGGAUAUUGCAAUAUAUCGCCGCAGAAGCACAUAAUAGAUGUUGUUUCCAUUCUACCCACCAUAGCUUGAAUUGCUGGACGGCAAAAGGAGCCACUAUCCAAUCGGCCAGGUCUAUGGUGCUGGAAUCUGGAAUCCGGUCGUACAGCCGACUGUAAUCGAGACCUGUAGUGAGCUCGUUUCUGAAUUUUACUCGGCCGGCGAAAUAUGCAUAAAUCGGCAGUUGACCUAGGCCGAAUUGCCGUGCUGCAACAGAAGGGUUGUAAAACUCAUAGGUGGGGGCAUCCUUCCCUGAAAAGAAGUUAGCCGGCAGGAUCCCUGGCUUGAUCAAUUCAUCCGUGAGCUCCUCAUCAAAUGUACCGGUCGUCGAGUCAAAGCAAGAGGGGAGUUCAAAGAGUGGUUCCUCCCUUUGAUAAGGGAACCAGCUGGUCGCAUCUUCACUGAAGCCAUUGUAGAAGCAUCUGAAGUACUCGGCCACCUUGGAGGCAGAAUAUGGGCAACCAGGGAAGGCCGAUGCUGCUUCGCCGAAGGAAGUGCACCAGCGCCGUACAGUGGGGUUCUCUGCCGAUUCAAUGUUGGGGAACGUCAUGUAUUCCACCCGCUGCUAAGAGAUCUUGCUCGUAUACAGAUUGAGCCACAAAUUGAUGAACCACCAGGAUCCACCUGGGUUUCCGAUCGGCUCUCCCUUAGAUAAUUUGACGCCGAUCUGGUGGAGCAUGUGGUAGGCCGAUCCCAGUAGAUGCUUACCGAGAGGGACAGAAGCCCCUAUCGAUAGUGCCUCGGCCAGAGCCUAUGUAUUGGAGGAUGGACCAGCUGCUCUCCCGCAAAAUAAGUGCUUCUCUAGCCACAUCAUCAGGAAGGCCGCGUGCUCUCUCUCCGCCACUGUCCCAGUCCUCUUGUUGCUCUUGAUGAAUCCUUUCCACCCGCCGAUUCCCUUUGUCUCCAGCCGAUGGGACGUUUUGACCAGAUAACGAAAAGGAGUAUCGGGAGAGGAGAUGUCAAGGCCAGUCAACAUGACCACAUCGGCCAGGGUGGGAGUCAUGGGCCCAUGUCCGAAGAGGAAUGCGUUGAGAGCGUCGGACCAAAAAUAGGAGGCUGCUAUUACUAGAGGCUCAUUCCUUUCCAUUUGAGACAAGGACAAAUCGAUACACUGGCCGAUUUUAUGCUCGUCCCAUUGAACUCUUUUGGAGGCGGCUAUCCGUUAUUACCAUUCCCUCCAACCGAGGGUUUCAUUCGGCCAUGAUCUGAAAGUACUUGACCAGUAGUCUAGGUCCAUGGUUGAUUGCUUGAAUGGAAUCCUAUGGGUUUCCAAGUUGAUCAAGUCAGUUGGAUCUGGGUUUCCCAUGGGGCCAAGGCAGAUAAGACCAGGGGUUUCAGUAAGGCGAAUGGUAAUCUGGUGUCUAACUGCCUAGAAAAGGAAAAAAGGGGACGGAAGUAAGAACGGAUCUAAGGUAAAUGCAUUGGUAUUAAAGAAAGAGAGGUUUCGGUAAAAACCUCCGGUAUGAAGCUCAUCGUGGUUGACGGGAUCGCCGGCGGAGCUACGGGUGCUGAAGCCGUCGGUACGGCCUCCGUCGAAGCUCCCGCUCUCGCCGAUGGAGCUCCCGUUCCUGCCAAUGGAGCCGCCGCCAUUGCUGCUGGAGUCGCCGCUAGUGGAGCCGUCUCCGGGACUUUGGAUGUUGGUGAAGUGCCUGAGGGUGUCGCCAUCGGAGAGAUGGAAUGUAGAUGGAAAAGGUCGCCGGGGGGAAAGAUUGGAGGCUAAGGAGAUGCCGGAGGAAGAAGGAGAUCAGUGCGCCAAAGAAGGAAGACGUGAGCUCGUGAAAAGAAGUACGGGACGUGCUGAUAUUUAAGGGUGGUCUGAGAAGGGGUAAAAGCAGGAUUUUUACCUCGCCAGCGGUUUGAUUUUUUCGGGAGGAGUGGUUGUCGUGGGCGCCCAUUUCGAAAAGAUUGCAAUCAUCAGGCAGAAGACCGCAAAACAGCAGGGUAUUUUCAAUGUGUUUGUUUCGGAAGGGAAGUUGAAAGGAAUUUCGAAGUAAAGAUUAUAUUUUACUUCGAAACUGGGGGGCAUGUGUUGACGCCAGAUUUUGACAUGUAUGGAAUCGGCAUCAAGAAGGGAAAGAAUCAGCUGAUGCGGCGAGGCACGGAGGUCACGAUUGGGAAUCGGCCGAUUGGUGCUACAGUUGGGGAUCGGCCGAUUGGUGCUGCAAUGUUUCGGCGAAGGGAGUUGAUGAAAAUCGGCCGAUCGACAGGCUGGAAUAGUUGGGCCAAUAUGGCUCAGGGUGGAUUACGAGGAUAAAGUUGGUCGGCCCACAGAACACAGCAAUCAACUCCGAUACGAGUCAUACUUGUAAAUAUUCGUUUUCGUUUAAAAUUAGAGAUAGAGUCCUAGUCGGUUAAGAGAUUGUUUGUAACAGGCUAUAAAUAGCCGCCUUCAAGCAGGCGACUUCGCCAAUACUUUUCUUACUUUCACGAGUUCGUGCGGGUUGGCGGGGCUGCAUCAGCUUGAUCUCCGGCCGAUUCUUUAAGUUCCGUUUAUCGAGUAAUAUCUAAGCUUUAACUUCGAGCACAUCGCUGUCGUUUCGUUUAGGUUUAUUCACUAGUUAUCGAUAUUCACUAGAAUUCUAGGUUUUACCUGUUGUUCUAGUUUUAUCACCAGUUAUCCAGCUUGGAAUUAGAACUUUCGGCUUACUUAUAUCCUAUUGCUUAAUCUACUACCUUGUGCAUAGCCAAUUAAGAUCUGUUCCUAGUGUUGCUACUGUAGCGUUGUUUAGUGUACUCUAGCAGUAUUCUUCACCAACGUUAUCUGGUAAUCGGCUGUAUUAUAGCUGAUUUCUUUCUUAUAGCAAAUCGGCCGAUUCGCUGAUAAGCUUCCUCGAGAUCGGAGCCUUAGCCGAUCGCAACCUCUGGGAUCUGACACGUUUCUCUCCUUGCCAAUCAACAGGUCAGAUUGGCUGGCACGCCGCGCGAACCGCACCAGGGCGAUCACCCGAACAGGAGUUAAGCAGAUUCUCCCGGGUCGUGUGUCCGACGCUAGAGAUUCAAUCGGCUGAUUUCUAGCGCCAACACCUUCCAAUGGGGGGAGGAACAGAGCAAAGCUUUCCAAGAACUAAAAGAUUACUUGCAAUCCAUGACCAAAUUGUGCCCUCCCGAACCCAACUCACCACUCUUGCUCUAUGUCUCAGCCUCGGGCAUGGUAGUCACUGCAACUCUUAUCCAGGAGAAAGAAAUCGAAGGCACACUAAGGCAAAUACCAGUCUACUUCGCAUCCGAGGCACUUAGCGGCUCGAGGGUACACUAUUCAGAACUAGAGAAAAUUGCUAAUGCUCGGUAAUGGCAGCAUGCAAGCUAUGUCAUUAUUUUGAGGGACACAGAAUAGUGGCUGUCACAAAUCAACCCCUCCAAGACCUCUUCUACAAUAGGGAAGCUUUGGGCAGAAUCGCUAAGUGGGCAUCAGAGUUAUCAGAGUUCGUGGUCAAUUUUGAAAGAAGUGCCAUAAAAUCCCAAGAGCUAACUUCAUAGUUGACUGGACAUCUCCAAACCUGAACCAUAACGAAGUCAAAACACCCUGGGUCAUCUACUGCGAUGGCGCUUGGUGUGAUAAAGGAGCCGGUGUGGCAGCAAUCGUAACCUCGCCAAACGGUGUAAAGAUAAGAUACGCCGUGAGGCUAGAAUUCCCUAAUUGUUGGAAUACGGGGUAGGCUACACUAGCGCAAUUCAAAAAAUCUACCGCGUAUAACCAGGAAGAACUGCCGUAUAAGGAUCACGGGAUUACCACUCGACGCACUACUGGUGCGGAAGAUGUAGAUAUGCGUCGAUGCAGUGAAGACGAUCACGUAGUCGUACGUAGUCGAUCAACGUAGUCGUACGUAGUCGAUCACGUCUAGCAGCUCCUCAGUAGCUCAUCCACGUGCCGCAAGAUCGCCUCCGGUGCCGCGGCUCGUCGUCGGCUCGUCGUGGCUCGUCGGCGGCUCGUCGGCGGCUCGUCCAAGUGCUGCAGGCGCAACACCUCCAAGGUAUCCACACGUGCAGGGAGGAAGCGUCGCAAGCCGGACUGCUAGAUCCGCGAGUUGCAACAGGCGAGGGCGUGGGAGGCGCGGCAGGUGUGUUUCGCCAAAAGGUGUAAACCCUAGGGCGCCCCCACCCCUCUAUUUAUAGAGGUUCCUGACGGGCCUCUUGGUCCGAUGCCCAUUAGUACUUCUAAACCUAAUCCAACUCGGAUCAGAUCCGAAUUGGGCUUCCAGCCCCUUAAGUGUGUGACCCUAUGGGUUCGGAUACGUAUAGACAUGGCCCGAGUACUCCUAUUCGGCCCAAUAGUCGGUAGCGGCCUCUAGCAAGAUGUGCCAACUCCUAUAUGCACACGAAGAUCAUAUCAGACGAACCAUCACAACAUAAUAUACAUGCUAUUCCCUUCGCCUCACGAUAUUUGGUCUAGCUUCAAGCCGACCGCUCUUUCUGGAUCCUGUGAUUCGGAAUCCCUUUGUAGGUUAACUCUUAACCGUACGUAGCAUGGCCAUGCAUUUUCGGAUCCGAUCACUCGAGGGGCCCAGAGAUAUCACUCUCAAUCAGAGAGGGGCAAAUCCCAUCUUGAUUGACCAUGUCUCAUAGCAUGCUUCUUGACAAACCCGAAAGCUACCUUUAUAACUACCCUGUUACGGCGUAGCGUUUGAGCCCCUAAGUAGGUCGAUCCACAUCUAGAAUACAUGCGACAAUCUCAGGUGUAAGGACAAAGCGUAUAUGUUGUUUAAAGAGAGAACUACUUCUCGUGUUGGGUCAGUCCUAGCACAUGUCUCCACAUGUGUCCACAUUAUUAGUUCAACAUCUCCAUGUCCAUGACUUGUGAAACAUAGUCAUCAACUAAUACAUGUGCUAGUCUAAUAUUCAUGUGUGUCCUCACAUGAACUCCGACUAGGGACAACUUUAGAAUAACCAUACAAGUAAAGAGUUUCACAUAUAAUUCACAUAAUUGCAAAUCAAUUCAAGUAGCCUUUAAUGGAUAUUCAAUGAACACAAUAUACAAAUCAUGGAUAUAAAUGGAAUAUCAUCAUCUCUAUGAUUGCCUCUAGGGCAUACCUCCAACAGUCUCCCACUUGCACUAGAGUCAAUCUAGAAGGUACCUAAUAGCCAUAGCUCUUACAUGCGCAUCAUGCUUAGCCUGCGGGAGUGGUUUUGUCAACGGAUCAGAAAUGUUCAGAUCCGUGUGUAUUUUGCAUAUCUUGAUCUCACCCCGGUUAACGAAGUCUCGAAUGAGAUGAAAUCGCCGCAUUACGUGUUUGUUCUUCUGGUGGUUCCUUGGCUCCUUUGCUUGUGCAAUUGCCCCAUUAUUAUCAUAGUAGAGAUUCAAUGGGCUGGACGCAUUCGGGAACACACCAAGCUCAAUGAGGAAAUUCCUUAUCCAAACACCUUCCUUCGCGGCUUCUGAAGCCGUGAUGUACUCGCCUUCUAUCGUAGAAUCGGCCACCGUCUCCUGCUUGGAACUCUUCCAACUAACAACACCACCAUUCAGUGUGAACACAAAUCCUGAUUGUGACUUUGAAUCAUCUCUGUCGAUUUGGAAACUAGCAUCGGUGUAACCUGUUACAACGAGCUCCUCCUCACCUCCAUAGACGAGGAACAUAUCUUUAGUCCUUCUCAAGUACUUAAGAAUGUUUUUCACUGCUGUCCAGUGACUCUCACCUGGAUCAGAUUGGUGCCUGCUUGUCAUACUUAGCGCAUAUGAAACAUCUGGGCGAGUACUUAUCAUUGCAUACAUGAUAGAUCCAAUAGCCGAGGCAUAUGACACUCUACUCAUGCGAUCCCGCUCAUCAGCAGUCGAAGGACACCGAGUCUUUCUGAGAUGUAUGCCAUGUGACAUAGGCAAGAACCCUUUCUUUGCCUCUUCCAUGCUGAACCGCUUCAACACUUUGUCAAUGUAAGUAUCUUGGCUUAAACCUAUAAGCCUUCUCGAUAUAUCUCUAUAGAUCUUAAUGCCCAGAAUAUAUGCCGCUUCCCCUAAGUCCUUCAUCGAAAAACUAUUUUUCAGUGAAGUCUUUACGGACUCAAGCAUAGGAAUGUUAUUUCCAAUCAGUAAUAUGUCAUCCACAUAUAAGAUUAGAAAUACUACAGAGCUCCCACUAACCUUCUUGUAAACACAAGACUCUUCUUCGUUCUUGGUGAAGUAAAACCCUUUGACCACUUCAUCAAAACGAAUGUUCCAACUCCUAGAUGCUUGCUUUAAUCCAUAAAUGGAUCUCUGAAACUUGCAUACCUUUUCAGCAUUUUUCGGAUUGACAAAACCCUCGGGCUGUAUCAUAUACACGUCCUCAGCAAGGUUUCCAUUCAGGAAAGCUGUCUUGACAUCCAUCUGCCAUAUCUCAUAAUCAAAAUAUGCAGCUAUAGCUAGAAUAAUCCGAAUGGACUUAAGCAUCACUACGGGCGAUAAGGUCUCGUCGUAGUCAACUCCUUGAACUUGUCGAAAACCUUUUGCGACAAGUCGUGCUUUAUAGAUGUGAACAUUUCCAUCCAUGUCCUUUUUCUUCUUAUAGAUCCACUUGCACUCUAUGGCUUUAACACCAUCAGGCGGGUCAACUAAGUUCCAAACUUGAUUGUCUCCCAUGGACUCUAUUUCGGAUUGCAUGGCACUCUGCCAUUUUUUGGAGUCUGGGUCCAUCAUUGCUUCUGCAUAUGUCGCAGGCUCAUCAUUGUCCAACAAUAAUAUUUCCCGCAUUUCGCGGAGCCUUGCCGACCUUCGUGGUUGUGGCGGUGCUUCUCUUGCCAUGGGUAUCUCAACUUGUUCUGCUACGUUGGCAUCACUCAUUGAUUCUUGCCCGAUCGGCUCAUCUUGAACUUCUUCAAGAUGCACUGUCUUUCCACUCUUUUCUCCUUUGAGAAACUCUUUCUCUAGGAAAACCCCAUUCUGAGCGACAAACACUUUGCCUUCGAUCGGUUGUAGAAAUAAUAUCCCAAAGUUUCCUUUGGAUAUCCCACGAAAAUGCACUUAUCCGACUUGGGUGUGAUCUUGUCCGACUGAAGUCGCUUGACAAACACUUCACAUCCCCAAAUCUUUAGAAAAGACAAACUAGGAACUUUUCCAGUCCAUAUCUCAUAUGGUGUCUUAACUACGGAUUUAGAUGGUACCCUAUGAAGUGUGAUAGCUGCUGUUUCUAGAGCGUAUCCCCAAAAUGACAACGGUAGGUCCGACUGGCUCAUCAUUGAUCGAACCAUGUCUAACAAAGUUCGAUUACAUCGCUCGGACACACCGUUUCUCUGAGGUGUUCCAGGCGGCGUAAGUUGUGGAACAAUUCCGCACCUCUUUAGAUGAUUGCUAAACUCGUGGCUCAAAUACUCGCCUCCACGAUCAGAUCGUAAGGCCUUAAUUUUCUUGCCACGCUGAUUUUCAACUUCAUUCUGAAAUUCCUUGAACUUUUUAAAGGUUUCAGACUUGUGCCUCAUCAAGUAGACAUAGCCAUAUCUACUAAAAUCAUCAGUGAAAGUUAUGAAGUAUUGGAAUCCUCCUCUAGCCAUCGUGCUCAUUGGUCCGCAUACAUCACUAUGUACGAGUUCCAACAAGUCUACUGCUCUCUCAGGAAAUCCUGUGAAAGGCGUCUUGGUCAUCUUGCCUAGCAAGCAAGCCUCACAUGUCUCGUAUGAUUCAAAAUCAAACGAAGUUAGAAGUCCAUCAGAAUGGAGCUUCUUCAUGCGCUUUUCACUUAUAUGACCCAAAUGACAAUGCAACAAGUAGGUAGGACUCAAAUCAUUAGGCCGAGGCCUUUUAGCACUUACAUUACAGACAGGUGAACCAUCAAGAUUUAAAACAAAUAAUCCAUUCACAAUGGGUGCAAAAGCCAUAAACAUAUUAUUCUUAGAGAUCACACAACCAUUGUUUUCACUCGCAAAUGAAUAACUAUCCUUCAUCAAGCAUGAAGGAGACAAAAUGUUUCGACUUAAACUAGGAACAAAAUAACAAUUAUUCAACUCCAUAAUAAAUCCUGACGGGAGGUGGAGUUGCAUCGUCCCGACGGUCAACGCAGCAACUCUUGCAUUAUUGCCCACGCGGAAAUCAACUUCUCCUCUUUCCACGCUUCUACUUCUUAUCAUUCCCUGCAUCGAAUUGCAAAUAUGAGCAACCGAUCCGGUAUCAAAUUCCCAAGAAUUAAUAAUUGUAUCAGCGAGAAAUAUGUUGUCUAUAACAUUAACAACAAGCGUACCUGAGGUAGAAGUACUCUUACUUCCGCCAUUCUUCAACGAAGCUAGGUACUGCUUGCAGUUUCUCUUCCAGUGACCAAGUUCAUGACAGUAAAAGCACUCUUUGUCUGGAGCAGGUCCAGGUCCAGCUUUAACCUUGGGCGGAGGGUUUGGCUUGGACGUUCCAGCCUUGCCCUUCUUCUUCCAAGAAUUGCCCUUCUUCUUAAAGCUAGGCUUGUUUUGUAUAGCCAUCACAUGGCUGGUACUAGCGCUUUUCUUGAUGUCUACCUCUGCUGUCUUGAGCAUACCACACAGUUCAUUCAAACCCUUCUCCGUCCCAUGCAUAUGGUAGUUCGAGAUGAAGUUCCCAUAGCUAGGCGGAAGAGAUGAAAGAAUGAAGUCAGUGGCCAACUCUUUGCCCAUUGGGAAGCCCAGCUUCUCCAAUCGCUGAGUGUAACCAACCAUCUUGAUUACAUGUGGUCCUACUGCUGCGCCUUCUGCUAGCUUGCACUCCGAAAAGGCUUUGGACACAUUGAACCUUUCAGUCCUAGCCUGUGUCUGGAACAUGUCCUUGAGCGCCACGAUCAUAUCGUGUGCCUCAUGAUUUGUUUCGAACUGCAUCUGCAGCUCGGGUUCCAUGCAAGCAAGCAUAAGGCAGCUUACCUCAAGAUUAGCAUCAAAUGCCUUCUUGUAAGCAGCCUUAACGGCAGCAGAUGCAUCAUCAGCAGGUACUGGUGGUAGUGGGGUGUCUAGAACAUCUUCCUUUUUAUCGGCCCUGAGAACAAUUCUCAAGUUACGGAUCCAAUCCGAGUAGUUUGUUCCAUUCAACUUGUCCUUCUCAAGGACCGAACGCAAAGCAAAUGAUGUGGUGGUGUUGCUAGGUGCCAUUUAAUCUACAACAAAAGUAAUGCAAAAUACACUAAGACAAACGUAUCCAUGAUAGAGCAAAUUACAUUAAACUAUUUUAACAGAAUCUACUCCCACUAAAAUCAAUAUCCCUCUAUUGAAACUUAGUGAUUCAGGAUCCACAACUAACAAGUCUACUAGUGAUCUUUAGCACCACCGCUAGCAAACGAGGUAGAUCGGUAAGCAACUUUUGCUAAUCAUAUCACAUAUGACUCCUGUUGUUGGGUGACAUCUCUAUGUCUUGGCGCCCAACCUUUAUGCCCCAAGGUCCUUAACCGUUAAGAUAACCUUUUUAAGCAAACCAACCCUUAUGCGUGUAAGUGUCCGACACAAACCCGUCUAGUCAAGGAAAACUAGUGGCACCCUAAUUUCAUAGACCCACCACUAAUUGUACAAGACAUGGGACGGUGCAAGUUUUAGUUGGGAGGGCAUACUAACUUAAACUUUGUGAGGGAUCGUUGUACUUCUAACAUCACAGCAUGCAGAAAGUAAAACAUAAACAGAAUAGCAUUCACACAGCUGUGACACAGUAUGGCCCGUUUUUAUAUGGUGAUCUCCAUCUCCAUAGAACCUGUUCACCAUGGUGAUCUCCAUCUCCAUGUUCCAUGUGCGCCAUCCUCCUGGUGAUGAGUCCUCCAAGAACUAGAACAUGCUAUUACGCCUAAUAGCUAGUAAAGAAUCUAGUAAUGAAGAUUACAUAGUUGCUUGAAUCAUCACAGAUUGGUACGCAGACCAUUAAAUACAAUAAAGUGACAACACAUAUGGCUCCUGCCGUGUUGCCGUACGCGCGACACGCAGGUCACGAAUGAGUUACACACAUGCAUCACAUACACAAGGGGGCCAUACUGACCACAAGAUACAUACAUACAUCCUGCAAAACAGAGUUAGGCGUCCUAACGUUCCAAACUUCGGAGGCCCGAAACUCCAUCUUCCAAGCCAAAUCUGGGAAAUCUAAUUUCGCCGAAAACGGCAAAGCGGUUGAAUUUCAUGUGUAACUUUUUCUGUAGAUCAAUUUUCAUAUAAAAUUCGCCCCGAUCCGAGAUCGUACCGAAAAGUUACGGCUGAUUUACCGAAGCAUACGCAUACGGCAAAAAUCCCGACCCCGGCAGUAGAUCCCAUCUACUAUUGCACAUCUAAUGCGCCUGGCGUAUGACCCUGGAUUUCGAUUCGACCAAUCAUAUUGAUCUUCACUCACUGCAACUGGAUUUACAUGUAUCACUUAACUCCGAUGGCGGAAACCGACCGGUAGGAGUAUGUCGUUACACUACCAUUGCAGCAAGAGCACGAAACCAGGACAUAGAUCAAACGGAAAACUCGCAUAUCUCCAUAUGCACACAUCCCGAAUCCAAAACUAAGCAGCUACGGCUCUGAUACCACUGUUGGAAUACGGGGUAGGCUACACUAGCGCAAUUCAAAAAAUCUACCGCGUAUAACCAGGAAGAACUGCCGUAUAAGGAUCACGGGAUUACCACUCGACGCACUACUGGUGCGGAAGAUGUAAAUAUGCGUCGAUGCAGUGAAGAUGAUCACGUAGUCGUACGUAGUCGAUCAACGUAGUCGUACGUAGUCGAUCACGUCCAGCAGCUCCUCAGUAGCUCAUCCACGUGCAGCAAGAUCGCCUCCGGUGCCGCGGCUCGUCGUCGGCUCGUCGUGGCUCGUCGGCGGCUCGUCGGCGGCUCGUCCAAGUGCUGCAGGCGCAACACCUCCAAGGUAUCCACACGUGCAGGGAGGAAGCGUCGCAAGCCGGACUGCUAGAUUCGCGAGUUGCAACAGGCGAGGGCGUGGGAGGCGCGGCAGGUGUGUUUCGCCAAAAGGUGUAAACCCUAGGGCGCCCCCACCCCUCUAUUUAUAGAGGUUCCUGACGGGCCUCUUGGUCCGAUGCCCAUUAGUACAUCUAAACCUAAUCCAACUCGGAUCAGAUCCGAAUUGGGCUUCCAGCCCCUUAAGUGUGUGACCCUAUGGGUUCGGAUACGUAUAGACAUGGCCCGAGUACUCCUAUUCGGCCCAAUAGUCGGUAGCGGCCUCUAGCAAGAUGUGCCAACUCCUAUAUGCACACGAAGAUCAUAUCAGACGAACCAUCACAACAUAAUAUACAUGUUAUUCCCUUCGCCUCACGAUAUUUGGUCUAGCUUCAAGCUGACCGCUCUUUCUCGAUCCUGUGAUUCGGAAUCCCUUUGUAGGUUAACUCUUAACCGUACGUAGCAUGGCCAUGCAUUUUCGGAUCCGAUCACUCGAGGGGCCCAGAGAUAUCACUCUCAAUCAGAGAGGGGCAAAUCCCAUCUUGAUUGACCAUGUCUCAUAGCAUGCUUCUUGACAAACCCGAAAGCUACCUUUAUAACUACCCUGUUACGGCGUAGCGUUUGAUAGCCCCUAAGUAGGUCGAUCCACAUCUAGAAUACAUGCGACAAUCUCAGGUCUAAGGACAAAGCGUAUAUGUUGUUUAAAGAGAGAACUACUUCUCGUGUUGGGUCAGUCCUAGCACAUGUCUCCACAUGUGUCCACAUUAUUAGUUCAACAUCUCUAUGUCCAUGACUUGUGAAACAUAGUCAUCAACUAAUACAUGUGCUAGUCUAAUAUUCAUGUGUGUCCUCACAUGAACUCCGACUAGGGACAACUUUAGAAUAACCAUACAAGUAAAGAGUUUCACAUACAAUUCACAUAAUUGCAAAUCAAUUCAAGUAGCCUUUAAUGGAUAUUCAAUGAACAAAAUAUACAAAUCAUGGAUACAAAUGGAAUAUCAUCAUCUCUAUGAUUGCCUCUAGGGCAUACCUCCAACACUAACGGCACGAGGUCAACAAACAAUACCACCGAGUAUGAGGCGUUGCUUCUGGCGCUGAAAAAGAUGAAAGCUCUGGAGCAACAAGCCUUCAUUGUAAAAACGGACUCCAAAGUGAUCAAGGAGCACAUUGAGAAGGAGAGCAAGGCCAAGGAGCCCGAGCUAGUGAAGUAUCUCACAACAGUAAGAUCGAUGGAAAAGCACUUUAGGGGCUUCACUGUCAAGCACAUCCAGAGCUCAGAAAAUGAUGAAGCAGACAAGCUUGCGAAGGCAGCAACACAGAAUGAACCAAUCCCUCCGGAUACCUUUUUCGAAAUCAUUGAGACUCCGUCAACAAAAGAGGUGGUCCCAAAGUCCGUAAACGCGAUUCAGUGCUUCGAUUGGCGGACUGAAAUCAUGGCAUACAUGAGGGGAUACUUCGAGCCGCACGACGAAGUGGAACUCACCCGACUCAAGCAAAAGGCCAGAGGAUAUGCAAUCAUAGAUGGAGAGCUGUACAAAGCUGGAAUUUCGACACCUUGGCUUCGCUGUAUAGAUACCGAGUUUGGCAAAGAGCUACUCGCUGAGAUUCAUAAAGGUUUCUGCGGGUCUCACAUUGGUUCCAGGGCUCUUGUAAGCAAGGCGAUCAGGCAAGGAUUCUAUUGGCCUUUGGCCAUUCGCGACGCUCAUGACCUCGUAUGGGGCUGCGAAGCCUGUCAAAAAAUAGCAAACCAGGGGCAUGCGCCACCCCUCCCAAUCCAGCUGAUACCGCCAUCAUGGCCUUUGCAAAGGUGGGGAAUGUAUCUGGUGGGACCACUUCCAACAGCCCAAGGCAAUUGCAAGUUUGCGGCUGUUGCCAUGGACUAUUUCACAAAGUGGAUCGAAGCCAAGCCUCUAGCUACAAUAACAUCAGCUUCGGUCCAAAAAUUCUAUUGGUAGAAAAUCAUCUACAGGUUCGGAGUACCGAGGGAGUUAACUGUAGAUAAUGGCAAGCAAUUCGACUCCAUCGACUUCAAGGAAUUCUGUGCCAGCCUCGGCACGAAGGUCAAAUUUUCCUCAGUAUACCAUCCACAAUCGAAUGGUGCAGUGGAAAGAGCCAACAGCUUGAUUUUGUCAGCAAUCAAGAAGUGCCUAUUCGAUCAGAAAAGGGAAAAUGGGUCGAUGAGCUACCAAAGGUGAUAUGGUCACAUAAUACUACUGAGUCUCGGGCCACAAGCUUCACACCUUUCAAACUCCUCUUUGGCUUCGAGGCCGUCACACUAGAGGAAAUCAAGAACAACAGCUUAAGGGUAAUCCGAUCCGAAGAUGUUCAAGAUGCUAUCAAGCUUGAGAUCAUCCAAGCUUCGGACAACCUCGACAAGUACCAAAAAGAAACACGAAAAUGGAGGGAUAAGAGGGUACUCCGAAGGGAGAUCAAUGUCGGGGACCUUGUCAUAAAGAGGAAGAAAAAUUGGGAAAAUCUCAGCAAGUUGCAAGCUGCAUGGGAGGGUCCAUACAUCGUCACAAGAAGCAACAGACCAGGCUCCUUUCACCUUGCGGACCAACUUGGCACGGAGCUGCCGCAUUCCUUGAAUGCAGACAGCCUACGAAAGUACUACCCGUCAAAGCUGUUCCUCGCUACCUUUGGCUUGUGAAGUUAUAAACAGCGUCGAAGGUACCGAUCUUACUUUUUAUUAUUUACUUGUUAUCGAGUCUAGACUGUACUCUUUUCCUUGCCCGGAGGGCUCCACACUAGAGGCAAGGUUUUUAAUGAGGCAGAUCCAUGUAAAACCUUCAAUUAUAUAAUACAAGAAGUUUCUCCCACAAGUUGCGUAACCUCGCACUGUUAUGGGGAGGAGAGAAUGAUUUUCCAUGAUUAAGUGCAACAACAAGUUGCGUAACCUCGUGCUGUUAUGCAGAGGAGAGAAUGAUUUUCCAUGGUCAAGUAAAACAAGUUGCGAACCUCGCGCUGUUAUGCGGAGGAGAGAAUGAUUUUCCAUGAUUAAGUGCAACAACAAGUUGCGUAACCUCUCUCUGUUAUGCGGAGUUGUUAUGCGGAGGAGAGAAUGAUUUUCCAUGGUCAAGUGCAACAAGUUGCGUAAGCUCACGAUUCUACACGAAGGAAAGGUUGAUUUUCUGUAACAAUGCAAUGAAAAGUUGCCUAACCUCCUACCUUGCGCUGCCUAGCAUUUCUAAUUACAUAUCAUUAUACAACGCAUUAUACACGCAAAUUAAGUGUUAUGUACUUCUCUCUCCUCAUUCAGACGAAGGAACCUACUCUUCACGAUGACAACAAUUCCUCUCAAGGCAACCCAUCCUUUCCACUUCGACCGCAGCAACCUUUCUUAAAGCCUCGCGUUGUCGGGUCUGCUGUGGCAGAACCACCCAAAUUAACUUGGCUAAAAUGCACUUAAGUCGCCUGACACGCGAUCAUGCACUUUAAGCAAGUCAACUCGGUCGUCCGUCGGAUUUCAUCCGAUAAACCACUUACACAGGAUCGAGAAGCAUUGCUCACUCGAAGAUGAGUAGCACAGAGGUUACAACAUUCCCAUCACAUUAACAUAGUUCAACAUUUAUUACAUCAGAGUUCCGAAAUUGAAACAAGUUUGCAAGGUUCAACCAGACGAAGCAAACAAGCGGAAGCUAAAUGACGAUAUACAAUAUCACGAUGAAGCCGAUCAUGACAUCAAUAAUCCCUGCCCUCGCCGUCCGAGGAGGGAUCCCACUCGACUGUCCAGCCCGGAGGGAGCUGGGUAGGCCAAGUGGUGCCAGCAGCAAAACUAUUAACACCACCUGAAAAGUUGAGCCACAACAAGGCUGAGCAACUAAUACUCUGCAAGACUGACCCGACAGGUGAUAACUACUGCCACCAAAACCUAGACAUGCAAGGCUUUUUGGCUUUGGGUUUGCUUUGCCAAAAGCGUCUAUAGUCGGUCCUUACUUUCAAUAUUUUAGCUCAAGUUCUACGUUCUUUAACCAGUAUAGAUUAGCAACUUAUACUAAGCAAGCAUAAUUUCCAAACAAUUAAAGAACAAGCAUCAUCAUUAUGUUCCAUAUUUACUCAGUGCAGAAUAGCGAUCAAGCAGUCUCAAACUGUGAGAGGCAGACGAAUCGAUUUUAAUUUAUUAACCAUGCAUGGCGAACCUAAUCUCACGACAUACACGCACUACGAAGGGUUGCUUCAUUUGUCAGCUGUCCCCAUCGAUCCCCAGGCACAUGUCAGGGCCAAACUUCCCUUGGCAUGCAAUGCUCCACAGUCUUGGCCUCUUGCUGCACUGUGACUGCACUUGCACCCACAUGAUGCACCAUGGGAACCUCGUUCCAGGGACAGCAGGAGUAUAAGCCAUGCCCCAGUUCAAUCAGGUACUAGGCUUCCUUAUCCCAUACUAGGUAUGAGAUUAGUACUUUCAAACACUUGAUCACGAACGCCGACACGUUUCAACCUUAGUCCAUUUUCAUUUAGAAAGAUGGGGCAAUCCACCGACCACCAAAACAGUUCACAAGGCCCUGCCCCGCCCAUCGUCCUUAUGGUUAUAACAUAAGUAAACAAACAACUCCUAUAACUCGCGAGUGACAGGAAAUCACUAGACUUUUACUGUGCCCUAUUAAGCAUUGCAUCUACGCGACUUAUCAUGCUAGCGUUCAGAUCAGAAGGGUGCUAAGUUCAUGCAUCUAAGGUGUCAUUCAACUCCUAUAAACGUAAAUGCACAAUCAUCAGCAUCAUCAUAUUGCAUAGUUUAAAAAUAGGGAAGCAUGCAUUGGGGCUUGCCUUCAGGAAAGAUUAGCGGUUCCUUGGGGUCAUGAUCUAGCUCGGGCUCACCCUCCAAGUGAUGAAGUUCCGCAGCAGGUCUUCCACCGGUGUAGGGUGGAGCUCGUAGGUUCCGUCGGCGAGAUUAGCUUCUACACGACAUGCACAUGCAGGAGUUUAGUUUCAACCAGACGCGAACAAGAACGAUGCACGGCUGGGAUUACGGUAGAAAGGAAGUUGCCUAUAGGUCACAUUCACCACAGAGUUGGAUUUAUCUAUUUAGCAGUUUUCUUUUAUUUACUAUGAUUUAAAAGGCCUAAACAAGGGAUAAAACCAUAAGAUAUUAUUUACAAUAGUAACAUGAGCAAACUUAUUUUUGUAAGAAACUAGACAGAACAAGGAUUCCAACAAAAGUGAUUUGGUAUUUUUCUGAUUUUUCCUCAAUUUAAGAUGUAACUUCCAAUUUCCUGUCGAUUCAAAAUGAGUUAAAAGUGUCGGGUUGGGGAAAACUUACAAUCUGACCCUUAGACUUAAGGAAUAACUGUACCAGGAUCCUCAAAUUUAACACAGAGAAGUCCUCGGAAUUUACAUAGAUACCCUCAGUCAAAAGGAAAAAAAAGACACAAUUGAGCCCUCGGGCGAGGCGGACAACACUCGGGCGAGGCGGACAGGGGUCGCCAGCUCACCUCCGGUCCUACGAACAAGGUCUUGGGGUCGGGAAGAAACAAGCCGAAGUGAAACGGCGGAAGGCGGUAAGCUUCAGGCGGCGGUGAGGUUCGGCGGUCCUCCGGCGGCGGUAGUGCUUCUCGUGGACAACAAGCAAGCUCUAGAGCUGUGCAAGAGGAUGGUGAAGCGGUUUGUGGUGUUGGCCAAGCGCGGGGUCGGGCAGAAAGGGGAGCUCCACCGAGAGCUUAGGCGACAGCGAGUGUGGUGGAGAAGAAUAGAGCAAGUACUGUGGCAAAGGCGGUGAUGGCGAAGGAGACUCCGGUAAGAGGCUUUGGUACCUUUUUAUAGAUGCGCGGAAGUGUUCGGAGGAAGGAAACGAGCUUGAGCAGGCGAGAGGAUAAGAUCGAGAGAGAAGGAAGUGCUCUGUCGUGGCAGCGAUUGGUCGGCGCCUCCAUUGGCCGGAGAAGCGAAGCUCCAGGGAUAGGAUCCCCUGGGCAUUGGGCAAGGGAGAUGGUGUUGGGAUACGAGGUAGGCUACACUAGUGCAAAUCAAAAAAUUCUACCGCGUAAACCAGGAAAAUUACUGUAUAAGGAUCACGGGAUUACCACUCAACGCACUACUAGUGCGGAAGAUGUAGAUUCGCAUCGAUGCAGCGAAGUCGAUCAACGUAGUCGUACGUAGUCGAUCACGUCGACGUCCAGCAGCUCCUCAGCAGCUCGUCCACGUGCAGCAAGAUCGCCCUCGUGCCGCGGCUCGUCAUCGGCUCGUCGGCGGCUCGUCCAAGUGCUGCAAGCGCAACACCUCCAAGGUAUCCACACGUGCAGGGAGGAAGCGUCGCAAGCCGGACUGCUAGAUCCGUGAGUUGCAACAGGCGAGGGCGUGGGAGGUGCGGCAGAUGUGUUUCGCCAAAAGGUGUAAACCCUAGGGCACCCCCACAUUUCUAUUUAUAGAGGUUCCUAACACGCCUUUGGGUCCGAGGCCCAUUAGUACUUCUAAACCUAAUCCAACUCGGAUCACAUCCGAAUUGGGCUUGCAGCCCCUUAAGUGUGUGACCCUAUGGGUUCGGAUACAUAUAGACAUGGCCCGAGUACUCCUACUCGGCCCAAUAGUCGGUAGCGGCCUCUAGCAAGACGUGCCAACUCCUAUAUGCACACGAAGAUCAUAUCAGACGAACCAUCACAACAUUAUAUACAUGCUAUUCCCUUUGCCUCACGAUAUUUGGUCUAGCUUCAAGUCGACCGCUCUUUCUCGAUCCUGUGUUUCGGAAUCCCUUUGUAGGUUAACUCUUAACCGUACGUAUCAUGGCCAUGCAUUUUCGGAUCCGAUCACUCGAGGGGCCCAGAGAUAUCACUCUCAAUCAGAGAGGGGCAAAUCCCAUCUUGAUUGACCAUGUCUCAUAGCAUGCUUCUUGACAAACCCGAAAGCUACCUUUAUAACUAAUCUGUUACGGCGUAGCGUUUGAUAGCCCCUAAGUAGGUCGAUCCACAUCUUGAAUACAUGCGACAAUCUCAGGUCUAAGGACAAAGCGUAUAUGUUGUUUAAAGAGAGAACUACUUCUUGUGUUGGGUCAGUCCUAGCACAUGUCUCCACAUGUGCCCACAUUAUUAGUUCAACAUCUCCAUGUCCAUGACUUGUGAAACAUAGUCAUCAACUAAUACAUGUGCUAGUCUAAUAUUCAUGUGUGUCCUCACAUGAACUCCGACUAGGAACAACUUUAGAAUAACCAUACAAGUAAAGAGUUUCACACACAAUUCACAUAAUUGCAAAUCAAUUCAAGUAGCCUUUAAUGGAUAUUCAAGGAACAUAAUAUAAAUCAUGGAUACAAAUGGAAUAUCAUCAUCUGUAUGAUUGCCUCUAGGGCAUACCUCCAAUAGAUGGCAUCAGGCAAGCGCGGUUUUGCCGGGCGGGAGGAUUGGCGAGGUCGAGCAUGUGUCUGGUCGCGUCAGGCGACAGAUUGGGGGCAGCGGCUCGGCCGGUGUCCGGCGAUGGCGUGGCGUGCGAGAGGAAGGAGGACGCGGGCGUUGGAUGGGCGAGCGGGCGAAGGCGUGGGAUGAUGGCGGCGUGGCGGCUUUUCCGACGAGCGGGCAAAGCUCCAGUUGGCGGGCGUGGAUGCGCGGCAGGGGCAAAGGAUGUGCUCGGCCGGCGAUUGGCGAACACGUUGCUCGCCCCAUCUUGUCGUGGGCGCGGGUUGGGCGUCCAGGCUCCCGUCCUGUCGCUCCCCCGCCAGGGAUAGGGUGCCGGCGAGCUGCCGGUGGACGGCGGCCACGCAGCGGGCGACACGCAAGCGAACAUGCCCGGGCACGCUUGCAUCGAGGCAAGGUCGGGCAGCGCACAUAUCGACUUUGGGGGGGGGGCACUCCUCACGAUUUUCAAACUAAACAUUCGAAAACCCCUUAAGCAAACUUGUAGUACUGUGGUUGUAGUUCAACUUUAUUAAAAGUAUUUGCUCAGAUUUUGAAAGGAUUUGGUGGAACACCUUCGCCAAGAGGCGCACUCUGGACGGUUUCCCAGACUUAGAGCUGGAACGCCCAGAGGGCUGAGUUGACUAUUUACCCAACUUUGACCAGUUUGAGCAGGUUCGGUUACGAUUUGGACCUGGGUCAGCGUAACAAAGUCAGAACACACUCAAGGGACUACAACUUUUAUUAAAGGUCUGACUUGAGGUUAGAUAGGAAUUUGUGAGAUAACAGGUUGCAAAGUUGAAGAAAAUCUUGAAUUCCAGGACUUAGGUUGUUUCUAGGGUUUUAUAACACUCCUGUUUUGAUUCUUGUUUUUGACCUUCUCCCUCUCCGAAUUAGCCAAAGUGUCUUUAACAAAAGUUGUUUGAAAUUAAAAGUUUUACAACUCUUAUUUGGGCAAAAGAUUUAAGUUUGUAUAUAAAAACUCAAGUUUUAAAUUUAACUCCAAAACAAGCUUGUUAGGGUCAAAAAGGACAUUUUACCUCUUUUGCUUAGCGACUAACAACUUGUUUAGGUUUAAGUACACCUAAUUAAGGUAGAGUUGUUACAACCUACCCCUCUUAAGGGAAUCUCGUCCCGAGAUUCAAGUGCAGAAAGGAACUAGGGUGGCUGGUGCAACGUACCUCCCUGAUCGAAAAGAAAACCGCGGAAGUUAGCGUUGAGAUACUCUUCUGUUUCCCUCAUUGCUUCAUCUUCCGUAUGGGUACUCUAUUGAAUUUUGUACAUUUUCACCAUUUGUCUACGAGUAUGCCUUUCUUUUCGGUCGAGGAUCUUCACAGGAUAUUCCUUGUACGAUAAAUCGGGUUCGAUUUCCAAUUCUUCCGGUGCAAGAAUUUUGGUCGGAACUCGAACACACUUCUUGAGUUGCAAAACAUGGAAAACAUCGUGUAUCGCAGCAAUCUUUUCCGAGAGUUUAACUCGGUACGCUACAGGUCCACAAAUUUUCACAAUCUCAUAUGGACCAAUAUAGUAUGGAGCCAACUUUCCUUUCACUCCAAAUCACUGUAUGCCCUUGGUCGAUGAUACUCGAAGGUAUACAAAAUCUCCAACCUCAAAUUGGAUAGGCCUUCUCCUCUGAUCGGAAUAGCUCUUUUGUCAAGACUGGGCGGCCUUAAGAUUUUCUCGGAUAACUCUUACUUUUUCUUCGGCCUCCAUUACCAAGUCGGGUCCAUAUAUCGUCCGCUCUCCUGGUUGUGACCAACUUAACGGGGUUCGGCAUCUACGUCCAUACAAAGCUUCGAAAGGUGCCAUUUUCAAGCUGGCUUGGUAGCUAUUGUUGUAUGAGAAUUCUACUAAUGGCAAACAUUUAUCCCAAUUCUUGUCAUAAUGAAUGACACAAGCGCGUAGCAUAUCUUCCAAUAUCUGGUUGACUCUAUCAGUUUGUCCAUCGGUUUGAGGGUGGUAUGUGGAGCUACGAAUCAGCUUAGUGCCAAGUGAAGACUGCAAUUGUUCCCAAAAGCGUGCUACAAACUGACUACCUCGAUGAGAGAUGAUCGUUUUAGGCACACCAUGCAAGGAAACAAUUCGGUCAAGAUACAACUCUGCAUAUUUCUGUAUAGUGUGGGUAGUGUGUACCGGAAGGAAAUGUGUUGUUUUGGUAAGUCGGUCCACUAUAACCCAUAUGGAAUCAUGCUUGCAAAAGGUAUUGGGUAAUCCGACUAUGAAGUCCAUGCUUAUGUCCUCCCACUUCCACGAGGGAAUAAGUAGUGGUUGCAAGGUGCCAUCUACCUUCAAGUGGCUUGCUUUAACUCGUUGACACGUAUCACAUUCUGAAACAUAUUGUGCAAUAUCUGGUUUCAUCCCACUCCACCAGAAAUUUUGUCGGAGAUUGUGGUAUAUCUUGGUACUACCAGGGUGAAUUGAAAACUUGGAAAGGUGGGCUUCAUCCAUAAUCCGUUUCUUAAGAUCAGGAUCAAUCGGAACAACCAGUCGAGCUUCAUAAUGUACAACUCCCUUCCAAUCCUGUCGGAAGUGCUUAUAUCCCUUAUCUUUCUGUGCGAGCUUCUUCUUGAUAAGUUUUAUCUCUUUAUCCUCCAAUUGUGCUAAAACAAUCUGGUCAUCCAGGGUAGGCUCAAGAGAAAUAUGACUUAAGGUGCCAUGGGGAACAAUUUCCAAUUUAAGUUUAGCCAUCUCAUGACAUAAGGUCUCAGCAUAGUUGGUCGCAGACAAGCAGUUACAGUGGCUUUUGCGGCUGAGAGCAUCUGCAACUACAUUGGCUUUGCCUAGGUGAUAGUGCACUUCCAAGUCAUAGUCCUUGAUCAAUUCUAACCAUCUUCUCUGACGCAUGUUGAGGUCUGCUUGAGUGAAGAUAUACUUGAGACUCUUGUGAUCUGUAUAGAUAUUGCAAUGAGUCCCCAUAAGAUAAUGUCUCCACAUUUUCUGAGCGUGAACGACUACGGCUAAUUCAAGAUCGUGGGUAGGAUAAUUUAGCUCAUGUGGCCGUAGCGCUCGUGAGGCAUAGGCAAUGACUUGAUUGUCUUGCAUAAGAACACACCCAAGUCCAGUGCUAGAGGCAUCGCAAUAAACAUCGAACGGCCUAGUAGUGUCUGGAUGAGCUAAAACCGGCGCAGAAGUCAGCAAUUGUCUCAAGGUGUGGAAAGCUUCUUCACAUUUGUCGCUCCACACAAACUUAACUCCUUUCUUCAGUAGUUCAGUCAUUGGCUUAGCUAUUUUUGAGAAGUCGGAGAUGAAUCAACAGUAGUAGCCUGCUAAACUGAGAAAACUUCAAAUUUGAUGAACUGAAGUGGGCGGCUUCCAAUCCAUUACUUCUUGAACUUUGAUUGGGUCUACUGCUAUGGCAUCGCUGGAUAUAGUGUGCCCCAAGAAUUUAACACUAUCCAGCCAGAAGUCACACUUGGAGAACUUGGCAUAGAGUUGGUGAUCUCUUAAGCGUUGGAGCACAGUAUGAAGAUGCUCUGCAUGUUCUUCCUCAUUCUUCGAGUACACCAAGAUAUCUUCGAUGAAUACCAUGAUGAAUUUUUCAAGUUCGGGUAUGAACACCAAAUUCAUGAGAUACAUGAAAUAAGCCAGCGCAUUAGUAAGCCCAAAUGACAUGAGUAGGUACUCAUAGAGUCCAUACUGUGUAGAGAAGGCAGUUUUUGGAACAUCACAUGGUUGGAUCUUGAUUUGGUGGUAGCCGGAACGGAGAUCAAUCUUGGAAAACAUUCUAGCUCCAGCUAGCUGAUCGAACAGAACAUCAAUGAGGGGUAGUGGGUACUUAUUCUUUAUCGUCACCGCAUUGAGAGGUCGGUAGUCCACACACAUAUGGAGACUCUUGUGCUUCUUUUUCACAAACAAGGCUGGACAACCCCAAGGUGAUGUACUUGGACGAAUAAAACCUUUUUCCAACAACUCACGCAACUGAGUUUUCAUUUCUGCUAACUCUGCGGGUGGCAUCCGGUACGGUCUCUUUGAAACUGGUGCAGUGCCUGGUUGCAACUCAAUAGCAAACUUGAUAUCCCUAUCUGGCAGCAUACCCGGAAAAUCAUCUGGAAACACACUUAGCACUGGUUCUAGUCCCAAUGAAACUAUGGGAUGCUCCCAAAUCAAACAGAAUAAGGACGGGUUGGUUAUAGAUAGAAAAGGUACCCGUCAUCACUGGUGUGCCUUUCGGAAGUUCGGCAAGGGUGGUGAAGUUCAGCCUGCCUUGUCGGACCUGAACCCAAGGCUUCUUCCUCUUGUGGUCCAGUGCAUUGCUCUGACCGAGCCGUUGAUUCUUGUUGCGGGGGUAGUCCUUGGCAAAAUGCCCCGUAUUCCCGCAGGUGAAACAGCGGUUUCCAGUAGUAGGGCGCGUCGGCAUUGGAAGAGCAGAUCGGGGCCCUUGUGGCUGGAAUCCAUGGAAACGAGGUGCUGCCUGCGGUGGGGGUCGAGCAACCCAUCUCCCAGGCUGUGCGGGCCUGCGAGGCGCCUGUGGGGGAACCAUCCUGUAUCUCUGUGCAGGUGGGCUGGGUGCUAGCAUUGGAGCCUUCUGCUUCAGGUCGGCCUUGAGGGUCUUCAUGCAAUCUUCCUGGGAAAUUGCCAAGUUCACCAAUUCAUUGAAGGAAUCCACCUUGAUGGGAUUCAGCCUUUCCUUGAGCUCUAGACUCAAGCCUCUGCGGAAGUGGUCCCUCUUCUUCUUAUCAGAAUCCGCAUGAUAGCCUGCGUAGCGACACAGGUCAUUGAAAGCCUGCACAUAUUGCAGGACGUCGUGGCCUCCCUGGGUGAGAGCCAGGAAUUCAUUGAGCUUACGCUCCAGGAGACCCUUAGGGAUAUGAUGGCCCUUGAAUGCCGUCUUGAACUCCUCCCAGCUGAUGACGUGGUUAGCCGGCUGCAUGGCGUGGUAGUGAUCCUACCAUAGGAGGGCAGAACCACGCAGUUGCUGUGCGGCGAAUCGAGCCUUGUUCUCAUCCGGGCAAUGGGCGGUGAGGAGGGAGAACUUGGAUUCGAUGGCAUGAAUCCAGGCGUCGGCAUCAAGUGGGUCCUCCGUCUUGUGGAACAGAGGAGGCUAUGUUCCCAGAAAGUCCUCAUAACGAGCAACAUGAGGUUGCUGAUGAGCUCUUCCUCCUUGGAGCUGCUGCUGCUGCCCCUGGGCAAUGUGUCUCAGCAGCUCAGUUUGAGCGGCCAAGAUCGCCUCUAGAGUGGGUGGAGGUGGUGGAGGCACCUGUCUCUGCUCGCUGCCACUGGGAAUAGAGCCGGAACGGGUGCGGUGCGCCAUCUGCAAGAGUCAUCUUUCCAUUAGUCACAUAAUCCCAAAAGCUUUCCAAUCAUAAGGGAAAUUAUGUACUGAAUCUUUAAAUGCUAAUCUUGCCGAUAGUGCAAACACAACAAUCAUAUCUUUUAUUGAGUAGGUGCAUAUCUCUCCUUUGAAGUAUGCAAGGUUCUCAUCCUUAUUCGAGAGUUAGGACUCGUCGUAUCCACUUCAUGUUAUGCUUGUUGACCGAAAAGGAAGGAAAGGAGGGGGGGGGGGCGGGGUUGGUUUAGCCAAUUUAGCAUGCUGCUGUUUUGGGCUGAUUUUCAGCAAGCUGAGCUGCGGUGUUUUGGUUCUAACGUGAGUUUGACAGAUCCAAAGGAGCUGAAAUUUUACGAGCAGUUAUAACACAUGUUUCGGCACAUCUUUGGUAGUCAAACCUCAGAUCAAAAAUGAGUGGAGAUAGGGGUAAAACUGAGGAGAAACAGCUACUGAAAUUCUGCCAUAUUUUUCCGACAUUACAACUAACCGGUAGCAACAGCAAAUCCGUACAUGAAAUCAGUUUUUCAACACUCGGAUACUUAUCUCAAGCUGACCUAUUACAUGACUGGCCAAAAAUAUAGGUCGCUGAGGAGUAAAACAAAAGAAACUGCUCACAACAAGUCGAUACAUCUAAAAGUCGUCAAGGUUGCCUACGGAGGCAAAGCUAAGUGCAGGAGAGUGUGUGUCGCCAACUUGAGGCUGCGGAGCAGUCUCCUCAAACUCCACACUCGAAAAUCCCUCGAUCUCCUCGGGCUGCUCCUCCUCCUGAGCCAUAGGCUCAUCCAGCUGCACCUCUAAGGCGUGGAUAGCAUUGAGCUCAACGUGGUGCUCCUCUAGGUGCUCAUUGGCGUUCGCUAGCUCCAUGUUCACGUCAUAGAAAUGGUCAGCCAACACCUCCAUGUCGUGCUCCAUCUCUACUAUCUCCUCCUCUAAAUCAGAAAUCCGGUUCUACAUAUCUGCUAUCUGAACAUCCUUCUGUACCAACUCAAGAGACAAGGCCACCAUGCCAUUCUGCACGAUGGUGAGGGCAACCUGGUUGGCCACGGCCAUCCCAAUCACAGUGGUCAUCGCCCUGCUCUGCAUCUCAAUCAUCCGAUAGAACGCAUUCAUGCAACGGGCUGAAACGAAGAUCGUACGCUGUGGGUCCAUAACACCCAGCAAGUCCAUGUGCUCCAUGCGGUCCAACCAAUCCGGAUCUCUCCUAUAACUGGCAGGGAAUAACCCAAUCGGGUCUAACACAAUCUCUAGGGUGUGUGCCCUGCAAAACUAUGUUAGUGCCUGUAAAGCUGCAAACUCCCACGUGUCCUGCAAGGUGUGUCCCUCAGCCACCACCUCCAAUAGUGGCCACUGGGGCUGGUCCGGGGGUGGGGGCACCUUCACGUGCACGCAACUCCGAGGAAUCUUGUGGUCCUAGUACGCAUGUCCCACGUAAACAGGCGGUGACGGGUACCCAAACGAGCGCAAAGUGUCCCACAGUAUGGCUGAAAAACCCUCGUAGUGGAGGCACCUUGAGUGGGUGGUGCCAUCCACACCAAUCGCAACGUACACCGGGUGAGCCAUCUGUAACAAAAGGACAAGUGAGGAAUGGAAUCAACACUUGGAAAUCAAAACAUAAUUCUGACCGUUAGAGAAAAACUCAUAACUCAGCAAGCAUUUAUCCAACAUUCCUUAGACUUUACCAGCAUGUUCUUUAGGUAGUGUGCAACAAGUUUGGUAUUCAAAGGUAGAGCUAAAACAGAACCUAAUAGGGUGAUAAGCUCAGAUUUCUAUUAGGUGGUACAUGCUGGAUUUUUUUCAAACCGAGCUGAAGGAAACUGAGCAUCACUUCAAAACUAGAGUCCUAAUGAAGCUGAAACUUUACCACAAAGUUCUUUACUAAGCUCUGAGCAACUUAGAUUAAAGAACUCAUGGCAGAAAAAGUUGUUAGGGGGGGUGUUGAAACAGUAACACUCCAACUGGUGUACACUCAGUGUUAUCAGCCAAACAGGGGGUUACAAAGCUGAUCCUAACUUCCAACCUAGGUGGUAGCAUUUUAUGAAAAUUUGACAGCAAGUUAUUUAGGACUUUUAACACAACUUUCUUAUAUAAAGUUUCCGGAGUUAUCACUUGAAACAACCUGAAAGAUUUUUAUCAAGACUUGCAGGGCGGAAAAAGGACAGCUAGAAAAUCCUUAUCGCAUUGCAUUGCUUUUAUGACAUACAUGAGCUCAGGUUUAUUUCCUUAGGUUGUAAUUUUUAUUUUCCAAUGCAUGCACGUCCUAGUCAUCCUCACAACCAAAACAAUCGCCCAAAAGCUUUGGACUUACGUAGUUAGUGCCGGUGGCAAGGAAACCAUAUGACUCUCACUAUAAUAACUAGUCGAGUUGCUAAGCAUCGUUUCGUACGUAAACGUGAUUAGUGUACCUGCAGAAAAACACAUCACAUCUUGAACCUUCCAUGCCAGCACUCACGAAAGCAUCCACAAUCAUUACCGUUCACUAUAGAAACGACACCUAUGCAUUUAACGCUGCAUGGACAGUGCAACAACCGUGGAAAUAGGUUCCCUUGAAUAGAACCAUAUAACCCUUUGCAUUCUCGUGAUGCGGAAUCUUGCACACGUAUAAUAGACGUGGGCGAACAACCGUGAUGAUAGGCUCGUUGGAAUCGAACCAUACCAUCCUUCACAUGAGUUAACAUACGGAACCUGCGCAUGUAUAAUAGACAUGGGUGAAAACAACCGUGAUGAUAGGCUCGUUGGAAUCGAAUUCCUAUCACCCUUCGCAUACUCGCGAUGCGUAACUCCGCACACGUAUGAUAAACGUGGUGAAAAGUACUGGAAGUCAGUAAAUAACCAAUAGUUACUAGCCACCUUAAAUAACCCCAAAGUUCCCCUAGGGCUUCUCGUACUAAACUCAUCCUUAACGAGCUUACGAAAUUUUCAACUAGUUUCUUGCAAUUUUUAUUCAGAAAAGGUGGUGUUGACGCCAGAUUUUGACACGUAUGGAAUCGGCGUCAAGAAAGGGAAGGAUUAGCCGAGACGGCGAGAUGAAAAUGUCACGAUUAGGAAUCAGCCGUUGAUGCUAUAGUUGGAGAUCGGCCAAUUGGCGCUGCAGUGUUUUGGCGAAUGGAGUUGGUAGAGAUCAGCCGAUUAAGAGGCUGGAGCAAUUGGGCCAGUAUGGGCUUAAAGUGGAUCACGAAGAUAAAGGGGGAUUGGCCCACAAGAGCGCGGCGACCAAUUCCGAUACAAGUUAUGCUUGUAAAUAUUCGUUUUCGUUUAAAAAUAGAGAUAGAGUCCUAGUCGGUUAAGAGAUUGGUUGUAAUAGGCUAUAAAUAGCCGUCCUUAGAGAUCUGUAAAAUCAUCAUCAAAUCAAUACAACAAUCUACUAUUUCCUCGCACUUUACAUUCAAGUUGGCGACUUCGUCAGUACUUUUCUUCUUUUCACGAGUUCGUACGGGUUGGCGGGGCUGUAUCAACUUGAUCUCCGGCCGAUUCUGUAAGUUCCGUUUAUCGAGUAAUAUCUAAGAUUUAACUACAGGCGCAUCGCUGUCGUUUCGUUUAGAUUUAUUAAUCAGUUAUCGAUAUUUACUAGAAUUCUAGGUUUUACCUACUGUUCCAGUUUUAUCACCAGUUAUCCAGCUUGGAAUUAGAACUUUCGACUUACUUAUAUUUAUCGCUUAUCCGCCGCUUUUGCAUAGCCGAUUAGAUCUGUUUCAAGUAUUGCUAUUGUAGCGUUCUUUAGUUUACUGUGGUAGUUUUCUUCACAAACGUUACCUAGUAGUCGGCUGCGCUAUAGCCGAUUUUCUUAUCAUAGCAAAUCGCCCGAUUCACUGAUAAGCUUCCUCGAGAUCGGAACCUUAGCCGAUCGCAACCUCUGGGAUCUGACAUGUUUCUUUCCUUGCCAAUCAACAGGUCAGAUUGGCUGGCACGCCGCGCGAACCGCACCAGGGUGAUCACCCGAACAGGAGUUAAGCAGAUUCUCCCGGGUCGUGUGUCCGAUGUUGAGAUUCAAUCGGCUGAUCUUUAGCGCCAACACACUUUUGGCACGCCCGGUGGGACGAGUACAACCACUACCAUGUCGAAAGCUGCCGAAAUCUCCGAAGACAACAUCAUCGAAGUGACGGAAGCAGACCUUAAGGACGAUGAGAAGGAGGAGUUGGAGAAGCAAAUAGCACAGUAUCGGAAGACAUGCCUGCAAUCCUUCAGUCGUACCAGGAGCGGGGAAACUGUCAAGAAAGCUCCUUUUCCAACUCCCUGCCAGAUUACAAUCGCCGAGGACUCGGGCAAGAUGUCCGAGAUGGUUCAACAGUCUGUCUACGAGGCUUUCAUCGAUCAAUCCCCGGUGAUAACCAAUACAGUAUACAAUGCCGUCAUCAGCUCCUUGGCCAAUGGCGUGUCUCAAGGAUACCAAGGGCCAGCGUACGCUCCACCUAUCACUGCCCCGGUCAGGAGUUUUCCAAGCAUACCCUACUCGGCUCCUCAGCCGAUCCAAGCUCAGCCUGGAGGUUCCAGCGCUCCUUCGCCGUCAAUGCAUCUGGGGCAUAACGGCGCACCAUACCUCCAGUCACAUGCAGCACCUCAAUCCAUUCAGAUGUCCUCCGCGCAAUCAUCUUCACUAAAUUUAGUGCCUUAGGGGGCACCAUCGGCGACGGCCAUCCAAGAUCAAUCGGCCGGUUUUGGAGGCUCUCCGACCCAGGCACCCUUCCAAUCGGCCGUGCGGCCGACAGGUCCACAGUACCAACCAGCCACGUCGGAGAUGGGCAGGGGGGUAGAGACUGCAGAAGCAUUUCAGGGUGCUGCGCCGAUUAUAUUAUAUGAUGAAAUGACCGGUUCGCUGAGACACCAGAUGCCAACUACACAACUGGCCACAUCACCACAGAACCCGCCGCACGCCUUCGUCCAUCACCCGGUCGUCCCUCCGCCGAUCUACCAACACGUGCCGGCUCCCCAGCCAGUAGUUCAUCAACAACAAGCAGACUGGACGGCACGGAUAGCAGAAGUAAUUCAGGAUCAAUUCGGUUUAAAGCCGAAGGUACAAACUUACACAUACAGAACGCCGUACCCACCUACCUACGACCUACUGCCGUUUCCCCAUCGGUACAAAGUUCCCGAUUUCACCAAGUUUUCGGGGCUUGACGAUACCUCAACUGUGGAGCACGUGAAUAGAUUCAUCAUCCAAUGUGGGGAGGCGGCUACACAGGAUGCUCUAUGGGUGCGUCUAUUCUCAUCAUCUCUGUCCGGGUCGGCCUUCCAAUGGUUCACCACGCUACCACCAACUCCAUAGUCACCUGGGCCGACUUGGAAAAGUAGUUCCACAAAUACUUCUACGCGGGAGUGCAUGAGAUGAAACUCUCAGAUCUGACUAGCCUCCGGCAAAGGAGUGACGAGCCGGUGUCCACAUACGUGCAGAGAUUCAGGGAAGUCAGAAACAAAUGCUACACCCUAGUCCUGACCGAUGCACAGCUGGCCAAUAUAGCUUUCCAAGGUCUCCUGCCUCACAUCAAAGAAAAGUAUGCUUCACAGGAGUUCGAGAGCUUGAGUAAAAUCGUACAUCGACUGUCUGGUCAGGAGGUACGCCCCUUUGAUCGACGGAGGAAUUUUCAGAAGAAGGUGGCAUACUUAGAAGGAUCUGAGUCCGAAGAAGAGGCAGAAAUCAGCCUAGCAGAGUGGGUUAAACGAAAAAAGCUGAUAUCGUGUCCUUUCGGGAAAAAGGAACCAGAGGCAUUCGGUUUCGAUACGUUAAAGGCCGAUAAAAUUUUCGAUCUACUCCUCCAAGAGGGACAAAUAGAGCUCUCGCCCUACCAUACGAUCCCAUCGGCCGAGCAACUAAAGAAGAUGAAGUAUUGCAAAUGGCAUAAUGCCACCUCCCAUAACACGAACGAGUGCAAAAUCUUCCGACAGCAAAUACAAUCGGCCAUUGAAUAAGGCAGGCUUAAGAGGUCCCGAUGAAGCCAACAAAGCCGAUAAAGAUCGAUCAGCAUCCUUUCACCACCAACAUGGUUGAUAUGGGAAGAAACGCACUCCAGACCAAGGUACUGACAUCAAAAUCGGCUAAAAAGAGCGGCGUCGUAGACCCCAGGAAUCAAGCUGCGCCUGAAGAUGUCAAAGGGAAGAGACGGAUGGAUGAUGAAGGCGAAGGAUCGGGAGAGCCACGUAGGCCCAUCACUUCCCAAUUUUUGCUCAACAAGUAUCAGCGGCAACAAGAAAGUUCAAGGUUUCGUGAAGAGAUGAUGCAACAACAUGAGGAUCACUGGCGAUGCCCGUUCUUCAUCCACUGCUAGGAAAAUAACCUUAGGUUGCCAUCGGCCAACAAUUGCCCAGAAUGCAACGGCCCGUAUCGCAACAAUCGCCCAUUCAGAAGGUCUCGCUCCAUAGAUGGAAGGCCAGAGCCAAUCAGCAGAAACUAGCACGAGCAAGAAGAUCGGCGCCUUUCAGUGCAUGAUCGGCUGGGGGGCAGAAGUGACCGAUAUGAUCGGCCAGAAGACAAGUGCGAACGAUACGAUAGGCCGGGGGGCAGAAUUGAUCGGCACGACCGACCAGAGGGCAGAGUCAGCGCACACGAUCGGCUGGAAGAGAUGGCCGAUGCUCGCGUAUAAGACGAAAAUCCCUUGGGACGGGAACCAGAAUGGGAGCGCGCCAAACCGCCGGCUAAACCAGUAAACCCCAGGUGGUGCCCUGAUGGAUUGACCAAAUCCCAAAAACGAAGAAUCCAGUGUCUCCGCCAAUGGGAGCAACAGGAAGAAGAGCAACAACAGAUGAUAGACAAGGAGAGCGACAGGCCUCGGGUUUGGUGCCCCAAAAGAAACGACAGGGAAGGCGACGGCAACCAGGAAUCGGCAGCCGAUGUCAAUAUGGUUUUCAUUCUGCCAAUGGAAUUCAUGACUCCCGCUGAUCGACAUAACAUGUCGAAGAUAGAAGAACAGAUGGCGCAAUUGGCCUUGGAGCCAAUGACAGCCACGUUCGAGAAACCCAAAGAUGAAAAAUGGUAGCACCUCAACAGCCGACCUGUCACCAGGCUACUAGUGGAUGGAGGCACUGCAGUCAACAUCAUGCCGUACGCCAUGUUCCGGAAGUUGGGAAAAAGCGGCGAUGAUUUGACCAAGACGGAUAUGAUGCUCAAAGACUUCGAAGGCAACGUGUCUCCCGCCCGCGGCGCGCUCUGCGUCGACCUCACCAUCGGCAGUAAGACUCUCCCCACGACUUUCUUUAUUAUUAAUGGCAAAGGGUCCUACAACAUGUUACUCGGUCGAGACUGGAUACAUGCAAAUUGCUGCGUCCCGUCUACAAUGCAUUAAUGCCUCGUACAAUGGGUCGGCGACAACAUCAAAAUAGUCACCGCCGAUUCCGCGCACAGCGUCGCGGCGGUCGAUGCAUAGCAAUGGAGCUGCGAACACGUCAAGUGCAUAUCCGGGAGGACUUGGGACACCGAUUUUCUGAAGGUGUCCGAUUUUGGCCUACAGCCGAUCCGAGCAGUCGGCUCUGAAGAUUCAGAUUAAAUGGAUCAGUUCGUCCGGGAAGACGGGAAGCUGGGGCACGGAUUUACGUCGGCCGAUUCAUUAGAGAUGAUAGAUUUAGGUGAUGGCACCAAGCCAAGGCCGACGUACAUUAGUGCUAAUUUGGAUUCGGAAUACAAAUGUAAAUUGACAAAUUAAUUGAAAGAGUUUAAAGAUUGCUUUGCUUGGGAAUAUCAUGAGAUGCCUGGAUUAGACUGGUCCAUUGUUGAGCACCGGCUUCCCAUAAAGCCGGGAUAUCGGCCAUAUCAACAACCCGCACGGCGAUGUAAUCCUAAAAUUCUACCCGAUAUAAAGGUCGAGAUCACAAGGCUGAUUGAAGCAAAAUUUAUCCGACAAUGCCAUUAUGCCGAGUGGAUCUCCAACAUUGUGCCCGUAUACAAGAAAAACGGGAAGCUGCGUGUGUGCAUCGACUUCAGGAACCUUAAUCAGGCUACACCGAUGGACGGAUACCCAAUGCCAACAGCCGACGUGUUGAUAGACGCCGCCACAAGUCACAAAGUCAUUAGUUUUAUGGACGGAAACGCCGGAUACAAUCAAAUACUAAUGGCCGAAGAAGACAUUUCGGAAACGGCUUUCAGGUGCCCAAGCCACCUCAGUUUGUUCGAGUGGGUAGUGAUGACUUUUGGGUUGAAGAAUGCCGGCGCUACAUAUCAACGAGCCAUGAAUUACAUAUUUCACAAACUCAUCGGUGUACUGGUAGAGAUUUACAUCGACGACGUUGUGGUCAAGUCAAAAGGACACCAGGAACAUCUGGCCGAUUUACGGCAGGUAUUGGAAUGCACGAGAAAGCAUGGGCUGAAAAUGAACCCGAACAAAUGCACUUUCGGCGUAUCCGCCGGGCAGUUCUUGGGAUUCAUGGUUCAUGAGCGUGGGAUAGAGAUCAACCGGAAAACCAUAGCGGCUAUCAAUAAAGUUGUGGCCCCGCAAAAUAAAACCGAGUUGCAGUCCUUGAUCAGCAAAGUCAAUUUCAUCAGGAGAUUCAUAUCCAACCUGUCCGGACGUAUCCAGGCCUUCACACCGUUAUUGAAAUUGAGACCCGACCAAGAAUUCGUAUGGGGAGAAGAACAACGCGGGGCACUGGAAGACAUCAAACAAUACUUGGCCUCGCCACCCGUGUUGGUCCCACCACAAACUGAUAAGCCAUUCAAGCUAUACUUAUCGGCCGAUGAGCGAGCUAUCGGGUCGGCGCUAGUCCAGGAGUUUGAAGGAAAGGAACGGGUGAUAUAUUAUGUUAGCAGAAGACUUCUGGACGCCGAAACAAGAUACCCCCCGGUAGAGCGACUAUGCGUGUGUCUUUACUUCUCAUGCACCAAACUCAGACACUACUUGUUAUCGGCGGAGUGCGUAGUCGUAUGCAAAGACGACGUGGUAAAAUACAUGCUGUCAUUGCCGAUUCUGAAGGGGCGGAUCGGAAAGUGGAUUCUGGCUCUAUCGGAGUUUGAUCUAAGAUACGAGUCGGCAAAAGCCAUCAAAGGUCAAGUCAUGGCUGAUUUCGUCACCCAGCACUGCGGACCAGAAGUCGCUGUCGUGGAGCCAGUUCCGUGGACCCUAUAUUUUGAUGGCUCAUCAUGUGGGGCCAGAUCAGGAAUCGGCAUCGUUCUCAUAUCGCCUCGGGGGGCAAGCUAUGAUUUCUCUCUGCCGAUAGAGGCAUCCGCCACUAAUAACCAGGCGGAGUACCGGGCUGUCCUGAAAGGGAUACAAUUGGUGAGAGAGAUUAAGGCCGACGCUGUGGAAAUUUUUGGAGAUUCCAUGCUCAUCGUAGACCAAUUGACAGGGAGAUCCGAGUGCAAAGAUGACAUCUUGAGGAUUUAUUAUGAGGAUUGCCUCCAACUUUUGAAGGAAUUCAAGUCCGCGGUUAUUGAGCAUAUCCCCAGGAAUUAUAAUGAAGAGGCCAACAAGCUUGCCCAGCAUGCAUCCGGGUAUCAGCCGAUUCAGGGCGCCAUUACUCUGGAACUCGCGGCCGACGAUUGGCGAAAAGAGAUUGCUGAUUAUUUAAAGGACCCGUCCAAGAAAGUGGAUCGGCGGGUGCACUUUCAAGCCACGAAGUAUGCAUUACUAGAAGGUGAUUUGUUCUACCGAACGAUUGAUGGUGUUCUACUCAAGUGCCUAGGGACGGAGGAGGCAAAAAUCCUGAUGGGAGAGAUCCACGAAGGUGUGUGCGGAGCUCACCAAUCAGCACAUAAAAUGAAGUGGAUGAUCAGGAAUAAUGGGUAUUAUUGGCCGACAAUCCUUGAGGACUGUUUCAAAUAUUAUAAAGGAUGUCAAGAUUGUCAGAAAUAUGGGAACGUGCAGCGUGCACCCGCAUCGGCCAUGAAUCCAAUCAUCAAGCCAUGGCCAUUCAGAGGUUGGGGAAUAGACCUCAUCGGACAAAUUUAUCCUCCAUCAAGUAAGGGACGCAAAUUCAUUCUAGUAGCCACAGACUAUUUCACCAAAUGGGUGGAAGCGAUUCCAUUAAAGGCUGUAACAUCGGCCGCUAUGGUCGAUUUCUUAAGGGACCAAUUGUCUAUCGCUUUAGCAUCCCUCAGGCUAUCACAACCGAUCAAGGAAUGAUGUUCACAUCAGGAGAAUUCGAGGAAUUCACGGCCGAUAUGGGGAUCAAGCUGCUAAACUCCUCCCCGUAUUAUGCUCAGGCUAACGGCCAGGCCGAAUCUUCCAAUAAAGGGAUAGUUAAGUUGAUCAAAAGGAAGAUCGAGGAACAGCCCAAAAAGUGGCACUUAUGUUUAAUCGAAGCUUUAUGGGCGUACAGGAUGGCUUGCCACGGGGCUACCAAUGUAUCUCCUUAUCAACUAGUGUACGGUCACGAGGCGGUAUUGCCAUAGGAGUUGAGAACGGGCUCAAGACGUACAUCGCUUCAGGAUCAGCUGACGGCCGAUGAUUAUUCCUCGCUCAUGAAAAGGGAGCUCGACGAUCUGGUAGGCCAACGUUUGAGAGCCUUGAUCAGCAUUGAGGAAAACAAAAAGAAAGUAGCCACGUGGUAUGACAAGAAGGUGAAAGUCAAGCAGUUCUCCCAAGGGGAUCUGGUAUGGAAGUUGGUACUGCCGAUUGGAUCUAAAGAUCCCAAAUUCGGUAAAUGGUCUCCCACUUGGGAAGGGCCGUAUAGGAUCGGCCGAUGUGCCCCGGGAAACGCAUACAUUCUGGAGACAAUCGAAGGGGAAGAUUUACUAGGGCCUUGAACGGCAGGUACUUGAAAAGAUAUUACCCCAUUAUAUGGGUCGAUGCAUAAGAAUCAUUAUGGGGCAUUACGAGACAGAGCGAUUAUUUCCUGGAUAAUUAUGUAGCAGAUGCAGAAAAAAGAAUCGCCUAGAAGAGAAAAAUAAUCGUUCAGGUUGGCUGAUUUAUCAUUCGGUAUGGACGAUAAGUUACAUGGCCAACAUAGCACAAGUCGCCCUUAGAACAAAAAAUACUCAACUACGCUUCUUCUCAAUCUGACCUAAUUCCAUCAGAAGACGGGCACUUCGUUCUUCCACAUCUUUCAUUGCAGCCUCCGCCUCAACCUGGCGAGGAAGAGGAUGGCUCCGAUCUAGCACCGGGUGAGAUGUUCCCGCCGUGGCAUUUUCAAGGGCAACCGGAUGAGGGAGUGGGUGGCUCCUGUCGACUCGCGGCCGCCUGUAACAGUUGCCGUUGAUGAAAUCCCAGAUUCGUUGAACAUCGGCAGGAACGUGAUCUCUGAGUUCUUCACGGUGUGCCUUGAUCAGGUCCCUGUCUUCCUGCGACAACGGCUCGUCGGAGUGCAUGAGUUCGAUUGCCCUUUCGAGUUCAAGGCUAAGGCGCAUCGGCUGAAAAGGUUAACAUACAACCGCCUAAAGUUAGGUUGGUUCAAAAGGAUCAAACUGGGAAGGAAAAGCGAGGACGGAUCUCGUACCUAAUUGACGGAAGAAGAGGAGAAAGAAGAAAACGAAGAAGACAUUUCUGUGAGUAUUCCGAUGAAAAAGUAAUCGGAGGAAGAAAGAAUCGAGUGGAGCAAGUACCCUUGAAAACAAUACCAAGGCUGGUAUUUAUAGGAAGAGAAAGGGUGAGGGUUUGGUGAGACGCGUCCCGUUAGAAUAAAGAAGGUAAUAAAUGAAAGAGGCGCCACAAAGGAUGGGUCAAGAUUGAGUUCGGGCAUCAAAUGGUCAAAGGGUAUUAAUGUUCUUACAAAAUGACCAGUACGUUUACAGAUCAUCCCAGAAGAGCAUUAAUAGCUGCAAUCGCUCGUCGCCUGAUUUGAUCGGCCGAGUCUAAAACCCGCUAGUCGUCCUCCGCCGAUCCCGGGACCUCUGGCAUGUGGCGACGAAGUCUGAGGGCCUCGUGGGCCAAAUACUGCCUCUCCUGCUUCAAAUCGGCGAUGAUGGAGGGGAGAUCUUGGAGUUUCUGCUCGGCUAUCUCCUUGACCACCUACUCCAUUUCCUUGGCGAGCUCCGCCCAUCGGCGCUUGAGGCGAUCUAUGGUAUCGACAAUUCCGGAGCGGGAGUUCUCGAGGAAGUGGAUCCGAUGGUGUACUUCUUGGGCCCGGUGUUUGUACGAGUCCUCCUCUUCACGAGUCUUGGCCAGCUUGGCGCGAUCGGCCAUAUGGCGCAGAGCCCUAAACACCGGGAUCCGCAUCGAUUCAAUGUAUGCGGCGGGCGCCAAGGCUUCUUCCGCCUCUUCCGGGACUCGGCCGCUGACGUCACCAAAGAGCUGCCGAAUCGGCGAGGCGUCCUCCACUAAUUGGCCGAUGUCUUCUUGGAGAAGGGUUCGUAUGCUCUCAAGUUUGGCGCGGACAUCAUCGGGGACGGAGCUCAAGGUAACUUGACGAGAGGCGACUUCUUCGUCAUCAGAAAGUGCAACCGCAAAUGAGAAGAGACUAUUGUUGGGAGUGUCUUGUUCCUGUAAAAUAAUAAAUAAAAGGAAAAGUGAGCCGACGAUGAUAAUGAAUUGGCCAAGUUCGGGUAAAUGAAACUUCUUACUUCUUUGAAGCGGAUUUCCUCUAUCUGCGCCUGUGGAAUUGUUACCCUUGGCUCAGGGGCCGGUGCGAUUGGUUCAUCGGAGGAGGAGGAUUCGACGAUUAUCGGCGUCCUGCUUGGGCCGGCCUCUUGAGGAAUUUCUGUAGCAGACGGCUGUUCGGAGAGCACAGUUAGCGUGCCGGUAACCUGCAUCAAAAGUGGUAUGGUCAUUGUUUAAAUGUUAAAGGAUUGAAUUAAGAGACCCUGUACCUCAGUGGGAGGGAGCACUAGUACUUCAGUUUCUGCUUGGGGCGUUGCCGAUUGUUGUGGAUACACCGGGGCGGUUUGUGCGGCCUGAUAUAAGGAAAGGUCAGUAUUGAAGUAACGACUGGGAGGAAUUAGAUGGUGAGUUUACCUGAAUGGCUUCUACCAACAGCAAUGCGGCGGCCGCUCCAGCUUCUGUAGCAGCUUGGGGGUCAACCUCCUCAAUGACUGGGAGGGUCAACGCAGCCAAAGAUUCCGCCGAUGCAGCCGUGGAUGGAUCGGCCGAUUCCAUGCGGGUGCGCACCCGGCGGCUUGUUUUCUUUAUAAUCUUCUUCUGCACCUACUUCAAUUGGCCAGUGAUGUCGUCAACGGAGGGGGCGUGAUAGCUGAUGAUGGGAAAUUCCGUGUACGGAUAACAGUUCUCUAUCGGCCGACCACUCCGACUGCGUUUUGGGGGGACACGGCUCUCAGACUAAAAGAAAAAUAAGAGUCAGUGGUAUAGAAAGAAAGAAGGAAUUAAAAAUCGACUAAUGAGGGAGCGAUACCUCUACAUUUGGAUCAAUGUUUUUGGGGUCCAGGAUGUUGUAAUAUAUCGCCGCAGAAGCGUAGAAGAGAUGUUGUUUCUAUUCUUCCCACCAUAGCUUGAACUGUUGAACGGCGAACGGGGCCACUACCCAAUCGGUCAGGUCUAUGGUGCUGGAAUCGGGGACCCGAUCGUACAACCGGCUGUAAUCGAGGCCUUUGGUGAGCUCGUCUCGAAAUUGUGCCCGACCGGCGAAGUAUGCAUAAAUCGGCAGUUGGACCAAGCCGAAUUGCCGCGCUGCGACAGAUGGAUUAUAAAACUCAUACGUGGGGGCAUCCUUCCCUGAGAAGAAGUUUGCUGGCAGGAUCCCUGGCUUGAUCAACUCAUCCGUGAGGUCAUCAUCAAAUGUGUUGGUCAUCGAGUCAAAACAAGAGGGGAGUUCGAAGAGUGGUUUCGACCUCUGAUAAGGGAACCAGCUGGUUGCGUCUUCACUAAAGCCAUUGUAGAAACAUCUAAAAUACUCGGCUACCUUGGUGGCAGAGUACGGGCAACCAGAGAAAGCCGACGCUGCUUCACCAAAGGAAGUACACCGGCGCCGUACUGUGGGAUUUUCUGCCGAUUCAAUAUUGGGAAAAGUCAUGUGCUCCACUCGCUGCUGCGAGAUCUUACUCAUGUAUAGGUUGAGCCAUAAGUUGAUAAGCCACCAGGGUCCACCUGGAUUCCCAAUCGGCUCUCCCUUGGAUAACUUGACGCCGACCUGAUGCAGCAUAUGAUAAGCCGAUCCUAGUAGGUGCUUUCCGAGAGGAACAAAAGCUCCUAUCGAUAGAGCCUCGGCCAGAGCCUGUGUGUUAGAAGAUGGACCAGCUGCCCUCCCGCAAAAGAGGUGCUUCUCCAGCCACAUCAUCAGGAAGGCCGCAUGCUCCCUCUCUGCGACUGUCUCGGUCCUCUUGUUGCUCUUGAUAAACCCUUUCCACCCGCUGAUUCCUUUUGUUUCCAGCCGAUGGGACAUUUUGACCAGGUAACGGAAAGGGGUAUCAGGGGAGGAGAUGUUAAGGCCGGUCAACAUUACUACAUCGGCCAGAGUGGGAGUCAUAGGCCCAUGUCCGAAGAGAAACGCGUUGAGGGCGUUGGACCAGAAAUAGGAAGCUGCUAUCACUAAAGGCUCAUUCCUUUCCAUUUGGGACAAGGAUAAGUCGAUACAUUGGCCGAUUUUCCGCUCGUCCCAUUGAACCCUUUUAGAAGCGGCUAUCCUUUGAUACCACUCUUUCCAACUGGGGGUUUCAUUCGACCAUGAUCUGAAGGUGCCGGACCAGUGAUCUUGGUCCAUGGUUGACUGCUUAAAUGGAAUUCUAUGAGUUUCCAAGUUGAUUAGAUCAGUUGGAUCUGGGUUUCCCAUAGGACCGAGGCAGAUAAGGCUGGGGGUUUCGGUAAGACAAAUGGUGAUUCGGUGCCUAACCACCUAAAAAAGGUAAAAAGGGAGGGAAAUAAGAACGGAUCUAAGGUAAAUGCCUUGACAUUAAAAAGUGAAAAGAAAAAGUUUCAGUAAAAACCUCCGGUAUGAAGCUCAUCGUGGUUGGCGGGAUUGCUGGCAGAGCUACGGAUGCCGAAGAUGUCGGUGGGGCCUCUAUCGUCGAUGAAGCUCUCGCUCCUGCCGAUGGAGCUGCCGCCAUUGCCGCUGGAGCCGCCGCUGGUGGAGCCGUCUCUAGGGCCUCGAAUGUCGGUGAAGUUCCUGAAGGCGUCGCCAUUGGGGAGGUGGAAUGGAAUGCAGAUGGAAAAGGUCGCCGGAGGAGGAGAUUGGAAGCUAAGGAGGCGCCGGAGGAAGAAGGAAACCAGUGCGCCAAAGAAGGAAGACGUGGGCUUGUGAAAAAGAAGUGUGGGAUGUGUUGAUAUUUAAGGAUGGUCUGAGAAGGGGUAAAAGCAGGAUUUUUACCGUGCCGUCGAUACGAUUUUUCGGGAGGAGUUGUUGUCAUAGGUGCCCGUUUCGAAAAGAUUGCAAUCAUCAGGCAGAAGACCACAAAACGAAAAGAUAUUUUUAAUGCGUUUGUUUUGGAAGGGAAGUUGAAAAGAAUUUCGAAGUAAAGAUUAUGUUUUACUCUGAAACUGGGGGGCAUGUGUUGAUGCCCGAUUUUGACACGUAUGGAAUCGGCGUCAAGAAAGGGAAGGAUUAGCCGACACGGCGAGAUGAAAAGGUUACGAUUAGGAAUCGGCCGAUUGGUGCUACAGUUGGAGAUCGGCCAAUUGGCGCUACAGUGUUUUGGCGAAUGGAGUUGGUAGAGAUCGGCCAAUUAAGAGGCUGGAGCAAUUGGGCCAGUAUGGGCUUAAAGUGGAUCACGAAGAUAAAGGGGGAUUGGCCCACAAGAGCGCGGCGACCAAUUCCGAUACGAGUUAUGCUUAUAAAAAUAUUCAUUUUCAUUUAAAAAUAGAGAUAGAAUCCUAGUCGGUUAAGAGAUUGGUUGUAAUAGGCUAUAAAUAGCCAUCCUUAGAUACCUGUAAAAUCAUCAUCAAAUCAAUACAACAAUCUACUAUUUCCUCGCACUUUACUUUCAAGUUGGCGACUUCGUCAGUACUUUUCUUCUUUUCACGAGUUCGUACGGGUUGGCGGGGCUGUAUCAACUUGAUCUCCGGCCGAUUCUGUAAGUUCCGUUUAUCGAGUAAUAUCUAAGCUUUAACUUCGGGCGCAUCGCUGUCAUUUCAUUUAGAUUUAUUCAUCAGUUAUCGAUAUUUACUAGAAUUCUAGGUUUUACCUACUUCAUCAGCUUGGAAUUAGAACUUUCGGCUUACUUAUAUUUAUCGCUUAUCCGCCGCUUUUGCAUAGCUGAUUAGAUGUGUUUCAAGUAUUGCUAUUGUAGCGUUCUUUAGUUUACUCUGGUAGUUUUCUUCACAAACGUUACCUAGUAGUCGGCUGCGCUAUAGCCGAUUUUCUUAUCAUAGCAAAUCGGCCGAUUCGCUGAUAAGCUUCCUCGAGAUUGGAACCUUAGCCGAUUGCAACCUCUGGGAUCUGACACGUUUCUUUCCUUGCCAAUCAACAGGUCAGAUUGGCUAGCACGCCGCGCGAACCGCAGCAGGGUGAUCACUCGAACAAGAGUUAAGCAGAUUCUCACGGGUCGUGUGUCCGACGCUGAGAUUCGAUCGGCUGAUCUUUAGCGCCAACAGGUGGUUUUAAGGUCUGUUGUUUUUCAUACCGUGCUGCAAGCUCUGAUGCCAGCUGUGGUGGAACCGCCCAAAUUAACUUGGCUAAAAUGCACUUAAGUUGCCUGACAUGCGAUCAUGCACUUUAAGCAAGUCAACUCGGUCAUCCGUCGGAUUUCAUCCGAUAAACCACUUACACAGGUUCAAGAAGCAUUGCUCACACGAAGGUGAGUAGCAGAGAGGUUACAACAUUCCUAUCACAUUAACAUAGUUCAACAUUUAUUACAUCAGAGUUUCCGAAAUUGAAACAAGUUUGCAAGGUUCAACCAGACGAAGCAAACAAGCGGAAGCUAAACGACGAUAUAGGAUAUCACGAUGAAGCCGAUCAUGACAUCAAUAAUCCCUGCCCUCACCGUCCGAGGAGGGAUCCCACUCGACUGUCCAACCCAGAGGGAGCUGGGUAGGCUAAGUGGUGCCAGCAGCCAAACUAUUAACACCACCUGAAAAGUUAAGCCACAACAAGGUUGAGCAACUAAUACUCAGCAAGACUGACCCGACAGGUGAUAACUACUGCCACCAAAACCUAGACAUGCAAGGCUUUUUAUCUUUGGGUUUGCUUUGCCAAAAGCGUUUAUAGUCGGUCCUUACUUUCAAUAUUUUAGCUCAAGUUCUACGUUCUUCAACCAGUCUAGAUUAGCAACUUAUACUAAGCAAGCAUAGUUUCCAAACAAUUAAAGAACAAGCAUCAUCAUUAUGUUCCAUAUUUACUCAGUGCAGAAUAGCGAUCAAGCAGUCUCAAACUAUGAGAGGCAGACGAAUCGAUUCGAAUUUAUUAACCAUGCAUGGCGAACCUAAUCUCACGAUAUCCGCGCACCACGAAGGGUUGCUUCAUUUGUCAGCCGUCCCCAUCGAUCCCUAGGCAUGUGUCAGGGCCAAACUUCCCUUGGCAUGCAAUGCUCCACAGUCUCAGCCUCUUGCUGCACUGUGACCGUACUUGCACCCACAUGAUGCACCAUGGGAACCUCAUUCCAGGGACAGCAAGAGUAUAAGCCACGCCCCAGUUCAAUCAGGUACUAGGCUUCCCUAUCCAGUACUAGGUAUGAGAUUAGUACUUUCAAACACUUGAUCACGAACGCCGACACAUUUCAACCUUAGUCCAUUUUCAUUUAGACACAUGGGGCAAUCCACUGACCACCAAAACAGUUCACAAGGCCCUGCCCCGCCCGUCGUCCUUAUGGUUGUAACAUAAGUAAACAAACAACUCCUAUAACUCGCGAGUGAUAGAAAAUCACUCAACUUUUACCGUGCCCGAUUAAGCAUUGCAUCUACGCAACUUAUCAUGCUAGCGUUCAGAUCAGAAGGGUGCUAAGUUCAUGCAUCUAAGGUGUCAUUCAACUCCUAUAAACAUAAAUGCACAAUCAUCAGCAUCAGCAUAUUGCAUAGUUUAAAAACAGGGAAGCAUGCACCGGGGCUUGCCUUCAGGAAAGGUUAGCGGUUCCUCGGGGUCUUGAUCUAGCUCGGGCUCACCCUCCAAGUGAUGAAGUUCCGCAGCAGGUUCUUCCUCCGGUGCAGGGUGGAGCUCGUAGGUUCCAUCGGUGAGAUUAGCUUCUACACGACAUGCACAUGCAAGAGUUUAGUUUCAACCAGACGCGAACACGAACGAUGCACGACAGGGAUUACGGUAGAAAGGAAGUUGCCUAUAGGCCACAUUCACCGCAGGAGUUGGAUUUAUCUAUUUAGCACUUUCUUUUAUUUACUAUGAUUUAAAAGGCCUAAACAAGAGAUAAAACCAUAAGAUAUUAUUUACAACAGUAACAUGAGCAAACUUAUUUUUGUAAGAAACUAGACAGAACAAGGAUUCCAACAAAAGUGAUUUGGUAUUUUUCUGAUUUUUCCUCGAUUUAAGAUGUAACUUCCAAGUUCCCGUCAAUUCAAAACGAGUUAAAAGUGUUGGGUCGGGGAAAACUUACGAUCUGACCCUUAGACUUAAGGAAUAACUGUACCGGGAUCCUCAGAUUUAACACAGAGAAGUCCUUGGAAUUUACAUAGAUACCCUCGGUCAAAAGAAAAAAAAGACACAACCGAGCCCUCGGGCGAGACGGACAACACUCGGGUGAGGCGGACAGGGGUCGGCAGCUCACCUCCGGUCCUACGGACGAGGUCUUGGGGUCGGGAAGAAACAAGCCGAAGCGGAACGGCGGAAGGCGGUAAGCUUCGGGCGGUGGCGAGGUUUGGCGGUGCUCCGACGGCGGUAGUGCUUCUCGUGGACAACAAGCAAGCUCUAGAGCUGUGCGAGAGGAUGGUGAAGCGGUUGGUGGUGUCAGGCCAAGCGCGGGUUUGGGCGGAAAGGGGAGCUCCACCGAGAGCUCAGGCGGUGGCGAGUGCGGUGGAGAAGAAUAGAGCAGGUACUACGGCAAAGGUGGUGAUGGCGAAGGAGACUCCGGUAAGAGGCUUUGGUACCUUUUUAUAGAUGCGCGGAAGUGUUCGGAGGAAGGAAAUGAGCUCGUGCGGGCGAGAGGAUAAGAUCGAGGGAGAAGGAAGUGCUCUGUCGUGGCGGCGAUUGGUCGGCGUCUCCAUUGGCCGGAGAAGCGAAGCUCCGGGGAUAGGAUCCCCUGGGCAUUGGGCAAGGGAAAUAGCGUCAGGCAAGCGCGGUUUUGCCGGGCGGGAGGAUUGGCGAGGUCGAGCGUGUGUCUGGUCGCGUCAAGUGCCAGAUUGGGGGCAGCGGCUCGGCCGGUGUCCGGCGAUGGCGUGGCGUGCGAGGGGAAGGAAGACGCGGGCGUUGGUUGGGCGAGCGGGCGAAGGCGUGGCGUCUUUUCCGGCGAGCGAGCAAAGCUCCAGUUGGCGGGCGUGGAUGCGUGGCAGGGGUGAAGGAUGUGCUCAGCCGGCGAUUGGCCAGCACGGCGCUCGCCCCAUCUUGUCAUGGGCGCGGGUUCGGCGUCGAGGCUCCUGUCCUAUCGCUCCCCCGUCGGGAAUAGGGUGCCGGCGAGCUGCUGGUGGACGGCGGCCACGCGGCGGGCGACGCGCGGGCAAACAUGCCCGGACGCGCUGGCGUCGAGGCAAGGUCGGGCAGCGCACACUAUCGACUUUGAGGGGGGGCACUCCUCACGAUUUUCAAACUAAACAUUCGAAAACCUCUUAAGCAAACUUGUAGUACUAUGGUUGUAGUUCAACUUUAUUAAAAAUAUUUGCUCAGAUUUUGAAAGGAUUUGGGGAACACCUUCGCCAAGAGGCGCACUCUGGACGGUUUCCCAGACUUAGAGCUGGAACGCCCAGAGGGCUGAGUUGACUAUUUACCCAACUUUGACUAGUUUGAGCAAGUUUGGUUACGAUUUGGACCUGGGUCAGCGUAACAAAGUCGGAACACACUCAAGAAACUACAACUUUUAUUAAAGGUCUGACUUGAGGUUAGAUAGGAAAUUGUGAGAUAACAGGUUGCAAAGUUGAAGAAAAACUUGAAUUCCAGGACUUAGGUUGUUUGCAGGGUUUUAUAACACUCCUGUUUUGAUUAUUGAUUUUGACCUUCUCCCUCUCCGAAUUAGCCAAAGUGUCUUUAACAAAAGUUGUUUGAAAUUAAAAGUUUUACAACUCUAAUUUGGGCAAAAGAUUUAAAUUUGUAUAUAAAAACUCAAGUUUUAAAUUUAACUCCAAAAAGAGCUUGUUAGGGUCAAAAAGGACAUUUUACCUCUUUUUCUUAGCGACUAACAACUUGUUUAGGUUUAAGUAUACCUAAUUAAGGCAGAGUUGUUACAUCUGCCCCGCCACCCUCUCCUUUCUCGUGGAAGCCCGAAGGGGGGGUGACAUUUUUUACAAAAACCCAUUCCUGGCCUGCUUCCCGCAAGAAAGGAUUGCGGCUUUGGCCCAUCGACCUAUCCUCUUUCGUAAAGCAUCCAGAGGGGAAAGAUAGUCUUUCAACCUGAAGCAACCGCCUCUUCCUCGUGAAAGUUAGAGGGGGGUGAUGUUUUUUCAAGAAUGAGAUGGCAUUUUUUAUCUACCUUUCGCAAGGAAGACUUGUAACCAUGGUUGCGCGAGAUAAAACUUAAAGAAGGGUGACGUUUUUAAAAAUAUCGAGCCCCAACGAAGCCUGUUGUGGCAAAAAGGGUGCAUCACGAAGCCUAAAAAAGUCCAAGGUUGAAGCAACUUUAAGUUGUGACAUCCACCAAACUUUCGUCGUUUCUAAGUUGACAAAGCCCAACUUCAGGCUUUACGUCGACUUAUCUGUUUAACCUCUCUGCAUAACAGUUUCAAAAGUCUAGCAAGUUUCGUCCGAAAGACAAAAUCCACCACAGCAACAUCACACUAAAAGAGUAUAAGCAUGCCAAAAAAUCAAGAGAGUAUAACGAUCACCAAAACAAAAUAGCUCUUAAUCAUAAAUAUGAAAGCAAGUCAUUUCAAUUCAAAGACAGACACCAGCCGAAGCUACAAUCAUUCACAGUAUUAUCACAAAAUGGGCGCACGAUCACACCAAAAGCGAGUUCAAAGGCGUUAUCAUCCCAACAUUGCAAUUCAACUAAAACGCUUCAGCUUCGCCGAUAUCCUUGUUCUUAGCUUCGAGCUUGGCCGCCGUUUCCUUCUCUCGCUCCAGCCUUUCUCUAGCAAUUUGUUGAAUAUACUCUACCCAGAAGUGGCCCAAAGUCACCUAAAGAUAUUCAGCUUCACCGAUUUCACAUUCCCAGUCUUUUCUCGAGCACCUAGCUCCGAAGCCAUCGGGAAAUCAUACCCAUCCUCACCAAGCGUCAAGAAAUGAUCACAAUCCUCAGCCUCGAGGAGUUGAAGGGUACUCUCCAAGUAGAAGGAUGCAGCAUAAUCGUUAAGACCGGUCAUAACCUCGGGCUAGCUUUCGAAUUCAGUCUUCAUCCAUUCCAAGAUUUCAACAACAUCACCAUCAGCAGGGUACGGAUAAGGUUCUCCACCAAAAGGACAAAGCGCAACCUUGUAUGCCUCAUAGAGUUCCGCAAACUUUUCUUUUAAAGCAGCCUCGGCCCCUUUGAUGUAUUCAGUUUUCUCCUCAAGCUCAGUACCCAUGAGGACCAAUGCCUUCGCCUAAUUUGCAAUGGUCUUGGUGUCUUUCUCAAUAUUUCCUCGAAGCUUUUCUAUAAUUGCAAUGUUAUCAGCAUCCCUUUCUGCGGUUAGAUCAUCACUAUUCUUAGCCACCUCUUCCACGGAUUUUAGCAGCAUAUUUUUAUGCUUCGUCAGCUCAUCAUUCACGCCUUUAAGGUUGUCCUUAAAAGCUGUGCAACAUCCUCUCCUUCCUCAAAUCAGCUAUUUUAGCUUCGAGAAGCGACACCCUUUCUGCCUUGUUGAGCAGAUCCCUUUCCUCAGCUUCCAUUCUCUCCUUUGCCUCUAUCCCAGCUAUCGCGCACUACACAAAACAAGAGCCGUGUCAAGCAAUCAAAACAAAAUCAGGAAAAAACUUAAUAAGUCUCCAAGCCAAACCUUAACAACUUCUUUGAACACUACACAAAGCCAUCUAACGGUCAAAAUUUCGAUAAAAGCAUGUACAAUGCAAAAGAAAAGACUAAGCACAAAAGAUAUCACCUUCGGGAUUGAACGGCCUGUAGUCACGAAUGGCCUUAUAAUCCAACUUGCUCUAGCCAGCCACUGCUACUAACCCAGCCUCGGCCUUCUCUCCGGUCCCUUUUUGACCGGCCUUCUCUCCAGACCUUGCCUCUCGUUUUUCCUCCGAGUGUUGAACGUACAGCAGCCAAAGUGGUUUUCAAAGGUCCCAUCUAAGUUGUCAAACACCACCUUUUUCUUUUGAAUGUGCAGGUUAAACAAGUGCACAAAGCCAUCCACAUCAACAGCACCAUUAAACGUAUGUUGAACCCAAAAGAACUUCGAUAGAACAACCAAGGAGUUGGGUGUCAAGUGAUGCAACUUAGCCCUAUAAUGAUCCAGAAUUUCUAGUAGGAUGGGAUUGCAGGGAAACCUCAGGCCGGCGGUAAAAAAGUCCCUAAAAACGACAGCCUCGCCAUACUUCGGCAUCGGAACAGCCUCACCCUCGGGUGCCUUCCCAACUCCUCCCGGAAAGAAUUUCUUCUCGACAUACAACUCUAUCACCUCAUCAAUAACCAACGACCGCUCGAAAUGUAACAUGGGAAUGCACACCGACUUGCUAGGCACAAGCUCGUUCACAUCAGCCUCAACACCGCCAAGGUCUUCGCCACUUUCACCCUCGUCAACUUCAUUGCCACCCUCAUCUCCGUUCCCAUCUGAAGUAAACCCAGACAUAUCACUGCUCGACGAGCCACCGUCACGAGCAAUAAGGUCCAUUGCCUCAGGAGCAGAUCUCUUUACUUCACCUUCCUCGAAAACCUCCUCGAUAUCAAUGUCUUCAGCCAUAAAAAGUCGACACAUCAGCUCAAAAAGGUAACCGUUGGCUCGAUUUGCACCGAUGCUCGAGGGUGACGUUUUUUGGGCAAAGAUCUUUAGUUUCGUGGGUUCGGUCGUCGGUGUCUAACCUUGACCACGAGGGGCUACUAUUGGGGAUGGCCCAAAAGAACGGUCAACCUCGAGCUCACUCGAAUCCUAAACGGCCUCAGGAUCAUGUAAAACUCUUAACCUCGCUACAGGUUUCCUAGCUUUGGGCAAACCAAGAGGCAUUCGGAAGCUCCCUUAGCAGUCGGGGACAUAAUUCAGGCCCAAAGGUAAGAAAAAGGUACGCAAUGUAUGCUGACGAAAUAACUCUACCUCCAGAAACUAGCAGUUGUGUGCAGGGAUGGGAGGCAAACAUGACCGAAGAUAGAGCUUUACCAGCAGAGCGUCAAGCGGAGGCCCGGACUCUUGAAUCUAGAGAGGCCUUCAUGAUGACAGCCUGAAGGUGCCGAAAUGCCCCGAGGUUGAUCCAAUUUUCCGAUGAGAAGCGAAGAUGAUCCAAGUGAGCAAAGCUGCGAGCAACCUCGGGUGCGAAGCCUAAGAAGCCUAGAAGCGUGAUCAACUUGGGAGCGUGAUUUGCGGGGUGAUGUGAGAGCGCAAAUCACGGGGCUGUCGGGGAGCAAAAAAAAACGUGAUCCAUAAAUGACCAAUAUGUAAAGAAUAUUCCGAGGAUGUAGUGGUUGGAUAGGGACAAAUGUGUCAAGAGUAAAUGUGCCCUGGGCACUAUAAAAGGGGCACCUCACCCCAGUGUAAAGACUUACGUGCACUAAUCAUACGAAAGCAACGGUUCGACUUCCAUUUGUGUUGUGUCUGACUUCACGAGAGGCUUAGACCCAACACCACGUAUCUGAACAAACUCCUCGAGUGAUAUUUCCCUUGUUUCAGGAACAAUUUGAGGACCAGGCGUAGACUUUUCAUGUGAUAUAUCCUCUUCUGUAUAUGGUCUCAUGAAAUAGGUACAUGAUCUUGGAGUCCAUGUUUUAGGAACUAAGUGAGAGCCAUGAAGAUUAUCUCUCUGAAAAAAAACACAAUUUCAGCCUUCGCAUAAUACAACAAUGUGGACAAAAUGCAUUGCUUAUUGCCACAACCGAUUGUACACUAAUUUUCUUCAAUGUAAAAUGCACUUUCAAACAACAAACGCGACAUGACUUGCAAGAAACAUAAGAUUUCAUGUAUACAGUAAUAGUAUGUAUACAACAUACGUACAGAUAUCACCGGUAGAAAUAGAAAUGGAAAAAGGAAGACCUGUUAUAAAUCAAAUGUGAUGGUAACAUAGUAAAAAAUGAGACACAAAGUCAAUUGCAAUUACAGAGCAUAAAAUGGUUCAUUUUAUGGUCAAUGUUAUGCAUACCAAAAGAGCUGCAUCGGGUACCGAAUACAAUUGUGUAAAGCUGCGGUCCAAAUAUAAUUCGUCACCAUGUGAUGUAAUCCCUUCCGAAUCUGGCUCCAUGAAUGAGGUAGAUGCUUCGGAGGUACUUGUUUCAGGAACAAAGUAAGAAUACAUGCCAUCUAUGAUUACUGCAUGUGAGUUUGUACUCUAAUGAAUUUAUCUUCCUUGAACAGUAUUCUUUAUGGAAUUCUUCAAAAUGAACCUGAUUUAUGUACCGAGCUUGAAGGGACAAUAAUGGAGAGAAUAGUCAAAGAUGAAGUGAUGAUCUACGAAAAAAACCAUAACGGAGGUAAUAUUGGUUUCAAGAUGAUCCACUGAAGUUUUCACAGUUAAAAUUCAUUGAAGCGUUUUUAAUAAUUAAAUGUGAAGUUCAGUGUGAAGAAGAAGUCGGUGCAUACUUUAAGGAAACACAUGAAAUAGGAAACCAUCUAGGAUAAUAUUUCACUCUUGGGCUAUAUGAUCAUAUCGACGUACCAGUGGUUCAAGUUUGUCUUUUGCCCUUAUUUGAAACUCAAAUCUAAUAUGUCAUUUAUUAUAGGCAUGAAGUAUUGUCAUCUUUCAUAGUUGUCUGUGUUCUUUGAUAAGGAAAUUAGCAUACUUUUUUUUGCCUCUUGGAUAUUGUGGAUGUUCAUUGUUUCAUUUGAAUAAUGUUUUGCCAACUCUGCACCCUCCUCCCCAGUUACGGGAUCAGGAACAGCUGUUUGAUAUGGGAAAAAAGAAGAAAAAGAAGAAAGAUGUCACUGCUGUUGUGUGGUAAGCGACAAGGGUUAUUGAAUAUCUUGGUCAGCGCACACCCGUUAUCCUCAAGAAUAAGGAUACAUGCUGCUCCCUAGUAGCACUAUGUAAGUCAAUGUGGCUGCAUUUUUAGGUUUUUUUUUCUCUCUCUCUCUGUAUAUCUACUUUAGUGGCUUGGCCGGUUACCUGGAAUUCGCACUGUUUACUUACUUUUACAUACGCGUGUACAAUCCAACAAGUUCAUAGAUUAAAUCGACAUUGAAUAUCAUUUGUAGUGUAUUUUCCCUCUCAAAAAAGGUUUCGCCCUCACUUCACUGAACUUAUUGGAAAUGCCGCCUAGGACAGAGUUCAUUCACUCCUUGUUUCUGGGCCACUGCAGGCAACGUUCUCCUGCUUGGAGAGAAGAUAACUCUCAAUUUAGAUAUCAAGAAGGUGUCGGAGGGCCAUCUCAUCUAUCUUGUCCAGAGUUAUCUUUUCUAUGGCAACACACAAAUGCAGGUAUGCAACUGUAUAGAUGCAAUUGUUUUGCAAAUGAAUGUUCAUUAACUCAAAUCUAAGCUACUGUCCACUUAUACUGCAGUUGGAACAGAACUUGGAACUAUCAGAGUUCAAUAAACAAGUUCUUGGUGUAUUGCCGAAGCUUCCAGGCAGUUUAUACUUUGAUGUAACAUUUGCUAGGUGAUUGUGAUACUGAUUUAAUUGUGUGAGUAUGUGCGAUUGUCCUUCUCAGAGUAUAAUGUUUGUGAUGUCCAUUUUUCAGCUCUUGUGGCUUUGAGCAGACCUCAGAAACCGCACUAUUUGGUUUUCUUGGUGUCCCUCUACACCAUGGCUGGUUGGUUGAUCCCCAGGUACCCAUUGUACAUGGGCUUUUUUAAAUAUUAGUUCCUUCAAUGCAUCAGCAUUUCUGUAAGAUUUGAGAUCUUUAUUGGGGUAAUUCAAGGCUGAUACUUUGAUAUUUCAUUAGGAUGUUGAAUUGGGCUCCUCAAUACCUAGAAGCUCCUACUCCAAAAUUUCAUAUAAUCUUGCUGUGUAUGAAUCAAUUCGAUCCAGCACAAAUUCAGGGCCUCAAAAGCAUGGUGGAUGGAAAGAUGACAUGGUGUAUUCAGCACUUGCGUUCUCUUUAUCAGGAUGAGAAGAACUUGGUUCUACUUCUUGUAAAUCUCGACAACACAAGUGUUCAAUUUUUCUGGCACAAAACCAUAUUUGCAAGUGAUUCUCCUGAUAAUAUUUUUCUUUGUUCACUAUUUUUAGGUGCAAUGAUCUCAACCUUUUUGCGGGGCCCUCACACUACGGGAAACACUAAAGUCGCCGAGUGUAAUUUUUUCGCCGAGUGUAUUAUUGCGGGCACUCGGCGAAGGACACGUUUACCGAGUGCAUUCCCAGUAACACUCGGCAAAAAUAUUACACUUGGCGAAAACACGAUUUGUCGAGUGCCACAAAAAAAACACUCGGCAAACUCCCACGGGGCACUCGGCAAACAAAAUCCACUCGGCAAAUACUUGAGCACGUGACUUCCACGUGCCACGUUGGGCGAAGGCCGUCACGUACGUUACUGUUUGCCGAGUGUCGGGGGGGGGGGGCACUCGGCAAACUCCAUGUUUGCCGAGUGUGUCGAUGGGGCACUCGGCAAACCUGAGAGUUUGCGGAGUGUCUCGGUGGGGCACUCGGCAAACCUGAGGGUUUGCCGAGUGUUUUUUGACACACUCGGCAAAACAAAAAAAAAUUUCCCUCCUCCCCCCUCCAAACUUUUUAUACUCCACAUGUAUGACAUUUGGCAUUGCAUGGUACAAGGUGGACUAUUUAUUGACCUGUUUGCUAUAUUUAAUCAAUUAAUUUCAUUUAGAGUAAUUUGUUGAUUUAAGUCAAAUUUGAACUGCACGUGAUUGGAAUAAUGGAAUAAUAUGAGUGGAAAAAUCAUAUUCAUGUUAGUGAGUCCAAAUUGAGGUCUUACCCAGAAAAUGAAAAGAAAUUUCGAACAUUUUGUUAAGGAAACAAGACUACGAACGUGUGGCCAAAUGAUUUUUUAAUUCUCAAAAAUACAAACGAAGUUUGAAAAUCACGAGAUUUUGCAAGAUGCCAUGAUUUCAUAUGCAAAGGCUGUGGUAAAAAAUUGACAAGGUUUCGCACAAGUUUUGACAUAUGAUGCUUAGAAUUCCAAGCAUCUGCGGAGAGGAUUCGUAGAAGUUGGAAGGAUCCGGUAAGAUUUUGAGUCGAAUCGAUACUUGAAUUUGUCAUUGAGUUCCAAUUUAUUUUUAUAGGCCAUAGAGAACAUAGAUUGGUUCAUGUCAAAUUUUGGGGAUUUUUUGGAUCCGUUUGAUAAUUUUUAUUUAUUAAUUGCAAGUAUAUGAAUUUAAUAGAUAUAAAUUCAAUAUGAGCUAUAAAUCCAUGAAAUAAUGGAACAAUAUUACUUAAAAAAUGGAAUACGCAAUGUUUAGUGAAUUUGACUAGGUUUACACAAAGUUUACAUACUUUUAAUUACUAAAAGUGCUUUGCACAUGCAAUAUGGGUACCUUUUUGCCGAGUGUAGCAGUAGGGCACUCGGCAAAUACGUGGUUUGCCGAGUGUAACCCCGGGGCACUCGGCAAAGCCCGCCAAGGGUCCAUGCGUCAGUGGGAGUUGGAAAUUCCUGGGGGAAGUACCCUUUGCCAAGUGCCCCUGAUCUAGCACUCGGCAAAGGCAUCAGCCGAAUGCCUUUGCCGAGUGCUAGAUCAGGGGCACUCGGCAAAGGUUUGGAACUUAAUCCGUCCAAGUCCCAGGCGCAUAGGCACAGUCACACCCACAGGCACACGCACACGCGCCGGCCCCAGCCGCCCGCCACCCACCCCGCUCGCCGCCCGCCCCGCCCCGCCCCGCCCCGCUCGCCGCUCGCGCCGCCCAACGCCGCCCCAGCCGCCCGACGCCGCCUCGGCCCGCGCCGCUCGUCAGCCCCCGGCCGCCCGACGCCGGCCCACCCCGCGCCACCCCGGCCCGUGCCGCGCCGGCCCCCGAACGCCCGACGCCGCCCCCGUCCCUUCCCGCGCCGGCCCCGGGCGUCCCGCCGUCAGCCCGGCCCGCGCCGGCUCGCCCCAGCCGCCCGGCGUCGCCCCCGGCCGGCCCCGAUCCCCGGCCACGACCCCCAGCCGCCCACGGUCAGCCCCCGACCCCCGACCGGCCCCCGGCUAGCCCCCAGCCAUCCCGGAUCGAUCCCGACCCCCGACCUGCCCCGACGCGCUGCCCCCGGUCCCAGCACUAGGUGAGUUGAUGCAAUAUUAUCAUGCUUGAAAUUUUGUCAUGCAUUAUGUAUCAGUGCUUGUUGUGGAGUCGGCCAUUGUGCCGUUGUGAUGUUGUAGAUGUGAUUGUCAGCCAUUGAGCCAUUUUAUUUGAUGCAGGUGUAGGAAACCUCCCCGUGCAGGGGAGGUGCUGUCAAAAUUUUAACUUGACAGGAGUAUUUUUUUUCAGGACAGCGUACGUUACCGUCCUCCAGUCGUCAUUUUGCAGGAUAGCAAGGUGAGGCAUCCUACAUCUUUCUUUCCAUAUAAUGUUCGUAUAUCACAUAACCUAGUUAGGCGUCUCCCGUUCGAAAUAGAUACGGUUGGAAAUAUGCAGAUUUUUGCAUAUCUAUAACCGUAUUUGUUUCGAAUUGUCCACAUUUUUUGGACAGCCCGAGGAUGUGUAGGUGGGUUUAGUAUCCAUGAUCUAUUUCGGUCCGAGAUAGAGUUUCGGCAGCACCUCCCUGUUGUUCUCCAGAUACACAAUCUCCUAUCAAGGACGUGUAAUUGGAGAACAGCGGGGAGGUGCUGCCGAAAUUUUAUCUCGGGUUGGAGUAGACCAUGGAUACUAAACCCUCCUACACAUCCUCGGGUGGGAUUAGGACCUAUCUUUACCUAAUAGACAAUAUAGGAACGUGUAUAUGCAAUGUGAAUUUUGUAUUACUCGCUUAUAUGCUAGAGGAUGGAGGAUCGUUAGUGAAUGUACGCGGGUCGAACUAGUCAGAAUACGUUGACCAAUGAAUGGAUUGACAAGACGGAUGUUUUCUUGGAACGGGCGUUUGCAAGUGUCAAAGGAGCUCGAUCGACUUGGUGUCUGUGUAGCAAAUGUGGAAACAUGCGUUGGCAAACCAAGCUAGACAUGGGCAAACAUCUGGUGAAGAACAGAUUUACGUCAGACUACACUAGGUGGAUCUACCAUGGUGAAUCUGACCGUGGGAGAGAGGAGGUCUUGAGACAACGCAUCGAGGAAUUUGAUGAUGAUGCUGGGGUGGGAGACAUGUUAAAUGACUAUCAUGAAGCACACUUCGAAGAAGCACGUAGGGAGGAGGAGCCAGAGGCUACCGCUAAGGCUUAUUACGAAAUGUUGUCUGCGGCACAGCAACCCCUUCACGGCCAUACCAAGGUUUCUCAACUAGAUGCCAUUGCACGCCUAAUGGUUGUAAAGUCUCAGUUUAGUUUGAGUCGAGACGCGUUUGAUAUUAUGUUGACAGUUUUUGGAAGCCUGCUCCCGGUUGGUCACAUCUUGCUAAAGAGCAUGUAUGAGGCACAGAAACUCCUUCGUGCACUUAAGAUGCCAUACGAGCAUAUACAUGCUUGCGCGAAGGGAUGCAUCUUAUUUAGGAAAGAGUAUGCGGAAGCAAAAUACUGUGUGAAGUGCGAAUCGUCUAGGUUUCUGGAGGUAGACUGUGGUGACGGUCAGAAAAAGCAGCUCGCAAUUCAUGUGAAGGUUUUACGGUAUCUUCCUUUCAUACCGAGGAUCCAACAGCUUUUCAUGACUGAAGAAUCCGCGAAACAGAUGACAUGGCACAAAAACGGUCGUCGCUAUAAUCCUGAGAAGCUGGUACACCCAUCCGAUGCUGAAGCCUGGAAAAGCUUUGAUGCGAUUUAUCCUGCAAGAGCUCUAGAGGCCCGUAAUGUACGCGUUGCGUUGGCAACUGAUGGGUUCAAUCCUUAUGGAAUGGCAGCCGCCCCGUACACCUGUUGGCCCAUUUUCGUUAUCCCCCUGAAUCUCCCCCCUGACGUCCUCUUUCAACGACAUAAUAUAUUCUUGUCGUUGAUAAUUCCAGAGCAUCCGGGGAAUAAUAUGAGUGUGUACAUGGAGCCUCUGAUUGAUGAUUUGCUCCGUGCUUGGGAGGAAGGGGUAUGGACAUAUGACCGAUCCACAAAGACAAACUUCAAGAUGCAUGUUUGGUACCAGUACUCACUGCAUGAAUUGCCGGCAUAUGGGAUUUUCUGCGGAUGGUGUGUUCACGGGAAGUUCCCAUGCCCAGUAUGUAAAGCAUCUUUGAAGUUCAUUUGGUUGUUGAAAGGUGGCAAAUAUUCUUCGUUCGACAAACAUCGACAAUUCCUCCCUCCUGACCAUCCAUUCAGAUGAUACAUCAAGAACUUUACCAAAGAUGUUGUAGUUACAGACCCCGCACCGCGGAUGAUGACAGGGGCCGCAAUUCGUGGUCAGUUAAACGCUCUUGAGGUCAAUAAUGAAGAAGGUGGUUUUUUGGGAUAUGGCGAGCAACAUGCUUGGACGCAGAAGUCGUGCUUGUGGAAGCUUCCCUAUUUUGAUGACCUUCUUGUUCCACAUAACAUUGAUGUAAUGCACACGGAAAAAAAUAUCGCCGAGGCAAUUUUUGGUACCAUAAUGGACAUUCCUGACAAGACAAAGGAUAACGUUAAGGCUAGAGUGGAUCAAGCGACGUUGUGCAACAGACCACAGCUAAACAUGGCACCUCCAAGAGCUGGCAAGUCGUGGAGGAAGCCUAAGGCCGAUUUCGUUCUGAUGAGGGCCCAAAGGAGGGAGUUUCUAGAAUGGUUCCAAACGUUAAUGUUCCCUGAUGGCUAUGCAACGAACUUGAAGAGGGGAGUGAAUUUAGCAACUAUGCGAAUCAACGGGCUCAAGAGUCAUGAUUACCAUAUAUGGCUUGAGCGCCUACUUCUGGUGAUGGUUCGAGGCUAUGUCCCUGAGCAUGUGUGGCAGGUGCAAGCGGAGUUGAGCAAUUUCUUCCGCCAGCUUUGUGCGAAGGAGUUAUCUCGUACCGUGGUUGCAGAAAUGGAAACAAUGGCACCUGUGUUGCUCUGUAAGUUGGAGAAGAUCUUUCCUCCAGGCUUCUUCAAUCCAUUGCAGUAUAUGAUUCUACACCUCCCGUAUGAAGCACGAAUGGGGGGGCCUGUGCAGGGUCGUUGGUGCUACUCAAUUGAGAGAUGUCAAAAGGUUCUUCGAACUAAAUGUAAGAAUAAGUGCAAAAUUGAAGCAUCCAUUGCAGAGGCAUACAUUCUGGAGGAGGUGUCAAACUUCACAUCAAAAUACUACGCUGACAACCUUCCUAGCGUGCAUAAUCCACCUCCUCGUUACAAUGCCAGCGAAGAUGAAUUGAGCCUUAGCAUUUUCCGAGGGCAACUCGGAAGUGCAAGUGGUGCGACCCGCAAAACCCUAAACCAUGAAGAGUGGCACUCUAUCAUGCUGUAUGUGUUGACCAACCUAUCUGAGGUGGAGCCGUACAUGAUGUAAGUUCUCAACAAACUUGUUUCGAAUUAGUCACCAUUCUCUUGCCUAAACGUAUAUUUCUCGUUGCUAUAGGCAAUUUCAUCGUCAAUUCUGGCGUAAAUCAAGGCAACCGUACCCGCACGAAGCUGAGACUCUUCUCAAAGAGGGUGCAGGAAAUGGAAUGCCCGAUUUCAUUUCUUGGUUCAAACAGAAGGUACAAUUUCAUUUCUUCGGACAUUCUCGUACAUACAAUUAAUAUAACGAACCGCCCUGUUUGAACUUGCAGGGCCGAACCGAUGCGUCUAUGAAUGUUGAGUUGAGACAGGUUGCCGAUGGCUGUGACUAUAGGGUCAGGUCGUUUGCCGGUUAUGACGUCAACGGAUAUCGUUUUCACACAACAAGGCACGAGCAGAGUCGGCCCAAUCGAAGAACCACAAAUACCGGAGUUUUCACGCCAGGCUCUGAUGGGGUCGAGUACUACGGAAGAAUUGAAGAAAUAUACGAACUCACUUUUCAUGGGUGCAAACCUCUUAAUCCAGUUAUAUUCAAAUGCCAUUGGUUUGAUCCAUCUGUCGUGAGACGGGCCCCUAAUCUUGGGCUAGUCAAAAUUCGACAGUCAUCCAGGUUACCAGGAGACGAUGUCUAUAUUGUGGCUCAACAGGCCACGCAAGUUUAUUAUUUGUCAUACCCGUGCCAAACCGACAGCCGUCUUAAGGGUUGGGAUGUUGUGUACAAGGUAUCGCCACACGGUAAACUACCUGUACCAAACAAUGAAGAUUACAAUAUAGACCCCAACACGUACGAAGGAGAGUUAUUCCAAGAAGAUGGGGUCGAAGGGAGUUUUGUGAUAGAUUUAACCGAAGCGAUCGGAAUGGAAGUAGACAACGAGAGGGUUGCUGCAGAGGACAGUGGAGACGAGGUUCAGAAUGUGAAGGACUUAGAAUUACUUCAACAUUACAGUUAGCUAAUGACAGUGAUAACGACAUUCCUCCUUCGGAGCACGGGCUUGACUAUAUCGACACGCGUGAUAGUGAUGAUGAGACUUAUGAUCCAGCUAAUCCCGAUCAUGAUGAUUAUUUCUAAUACAUGUAUGAUUCGUACCAAUUUAGUUAUAAUUUAAUUAUAAUUUGCAUAUCUUUGUAAUUAUGUUUUGUUUGUCUAUGCUGACUGGUUUACUCUUUUUAAUUGCAGGUCAUUGAGCAAUGGUGGGUGGUAUGAGGAAGCUCACGUUGAUUUGCGAGAGACUGGCCGCGUCAGGGACUGGUUCAGGGUCAGGGUCACGUUCAGGGAGCGGUUGAGGGAGGCGUCGAGGCAGGCCUCGACGUAGGGUUGAGGAGGAGGAGGAGGAGGAGGAGGAGGUGGUCCAAAGGCCUCGAGGGAAGGGUAAAGCGGCGAGGCCCCCGUCGCCUCAACCUGAGGUGGAGGAGGAGGAGGAGGAGGAGGAGGAGGUACCUUCCGUACACGCCUCUGGGGACGACGAGGCGGAGGAGGCGAAGGAGGAGGAGCAGCAGGAGCAGGAGGGGGAUGGGGAGGCAGGGGAUGCCCAGUCCAAGAUAUGGUUGCGAGGUCCCUCAUCCCUCCCGAAGCGGCCGAUACCUGAGCAUUUACGCCCGCUGAUUAAAUCGGUUGGGACCAAGUAAGUAACUUUAAAUAUUCUUAAUAAUGUUCUUAUGUUGAAAGUUACAAAAACUAAUAAUUUAUAUUAAUGACUUGUGCAGGAGUUGGAUUAAGCUCAGUGGGGGUGACCACAACCGUAAGGCCAACGGGAUCCUUGGCCUUUUGUGCAGGGUUCACUUCCCUGGCUUGGUGGUGUAAGCCGGACAGCAGCAGCCGGCCUACACGUGGGACCACUACGUCGCCGCCCCCGACGUCCCUGAUCGUCAACAGAGGAGAUUCCCCAACAUAGCGGAGCGGGUCAAGGCCGAGCUGUGGGUAAGUACUCAUCGCACUAAAUUGCUCAAUACAUUACCUACUUUCGACAUUCUUGAAAUAAUAACUGUAUACGCGUCUAUAUGCAGGAUUUCUAUAGAUGCCAGGAGGGAUUCGAGGCCAAGGCGAAGGUCGUCUGUGAUGUAGCCGCCAAGAAGCUCAUGAAGGACAUGCAUUACGAGGCGCGCAUCCAGGCCAUCAUCGAAUUCCACGCUCAAUACAGACAGAUGAAGGUUAGAAAAGAGGAGGCAAGAACAAUGAACCUGACUAAGGACCAAUUCAUGAGGGUAAGUAAAGAACAUUGAUACUUACUAUUUAAGAUUAAUUAGACUCAUUUUCUUUUUCAUAUGUCACACGCUUGAUGAUGUAGGUGCCUCCGUGGUGGUGUCGUGCGCAUAUGCCGUGCUGGGAGAGGAUGGUCGACGUGUGGUUGGAGCCCGGGUGGUUGGAGAACCACCUUGCUUGCCGGCAGCGGCGUUUGCAGAUGCCGACUGCACCACACCAUCAAGGCAGCCUAAGCCUUGAUGAAUAUAGAGAAAAAUGGGUACGCAACUUCAAUUCUUUAUUCUAACGUUCAGUUCUACAUAAUUCUUAAUCAUUUUGUAUUUUUUACCGCAGUCGGCGUCACAUGAUGGCCGACCUUGCUCCCAGCUCAAGGCAUGGGUCCUCUCCAAAAAGGGCAAGGCGACGGCCGAUAUCGAUUUCAACCCAGACGACCCGUCCGAGGCGUACAGCCACCCUAGCAUACACAGCCGCGUCAGCGAGUAUACAAAGAUGGCUAGGGAGGUUUACGGGCCAGACUUCGAUCGGAGCUCCGAGGACAUUGAUGGAGAAAUUGUGAUGAGGGUGGGAGGAGGCAAGAAGCAUGGCCGAUAUUGGAUUGGCGACAGUAUAAUCGACACGGCCUCUACUCCCACUCUCUCCCAGAUCCGAGCUAGGAGCACGGACUCGAGCCCGGCGAUACGGCCACGACCCACCACUGCACAGUUCCAGAUGGAGGCUCUCCAGGUUCUUUCUCUUCCAUUCAUCGUUCGUUUGUUGUUAUACUUUAGCUUUGCAUUAUAACAUUGCAAUGAAAUAUUGUAGGCCCAGGUGGAAGAAGCAAGGAAGAAACAAGAGGAGAUGGCGGCGCAGAUGGAGGACAUGCGGCGGAGGAUGGAGGAAGAAAAUUGGAUUAGGAUGGAGCAGAUGUUCCAGUACAUGCAGAAUUUUGCUUUGAGCAUGGGUCAGUCUUUGCCUCCGCCACCGCCGAUGAUGUUCCCUCUGCCUCAGCCACCCACGACUACUCCUGUGAGUCACUUGACACAUUGUGCUUUAGAUUCAAUACUUUAAUUUUGACAACUUUAGAUGUUAGCUCAGAAUGUCCUAUCCUAUAUGCAGAAUCAAUCGGCGGCUUCGAAUAAUGAAGAUCAAGAUUUGUCGCAGUGGUCUCCUUGGCCUCCACGGAACUAGACUUGGUUGUGAACUUGGUUGAAACUAAAUUGUGACUUGAACUUGGAUUUAUGGAUUGUUUGGUGCUUAUGUUGAAUUAUGCCUGUGGUGUUUAUGAAUAAUGUUUCUAAUGGUGGUUGUGAAUUAUGCAUGUGAUUGUUUAUUACAAAUGCCUGUGAUGAUGUGUAUUGUGAAUUGAGAGGGGUCCGUUAUACGUGGCAAAACGGGAAAAAAGGGGGGUUCUGGGCACUUUGCCGAGUGUAACACUCGGCAAAGAGGGGCCUUUGCCGAGUGUUUUGGCUUUGACACUCGGCAAACGUGCAUUUCCCAGGUUCAUGCGCAGGUUGUUUGCCGAGUGCCAGGGACAAGGCACUCGGCAAACACCCCCUGUUUGCCGAGUGUCAGGGGCAAAGACACUCGGCAAACACGCCGGCUUUGCCGAGUGCCCACUCCGUGACACUCGGCAAACAGGGGGUGUUUGCCGAGUGCUUCCCGUCUGGCACUCAGCAAAUCCGCCGUUACCCCCGACGCCGUCAGCGCGUAUUUCGCCGAGUACAUCUUUUCGCCGAGUGCUUUUUGGGCGUCGGCAAAAUGUUUGCCGAGUGCUCGCGUUUUGACACUCGGCAAACUAGUCUUUGCCGACACAAAAUUUGCCGUGUGCUGUUUGCCGAGUGUUACACUCGGCAAAGCCUUUGCCGAGUGUUUUUGUGUCUUCGCCGAGUGCCUGUGGCACUCGGCAAAUUGUAUGGUUCCCGUAGUGUCAGCUAAUCCCAUAUGGGUAAAUGGAAGUUUAUAUACGUUCAAGUGUUACUUUUUUUGUUGCUUCUAAAACUCGGUAUAUGUCACUGGGUGCAGAUUCUUUUCAUUACACGAUCACCUCAAAGCGAGACAGCCAGCUGUCCUGAUUUAGAAUGAAAAAUUAAUUACAAUAUCUAAGGUGAGCUAUUGAUUUGUUCAGAGAUAGUGACCCUUCCCUUAUUAAAGUGAGUGAACCUUUCCUCCUGAUAUAUUCCUUUUAUUGUAUAGUUUGAAGACAAAAUAUAUGUGUUGCUGAACGAUUUGUCCUUGUUCAGUACUGAAACCGAUGCGGUGCGGGAAAGGUUAACACAGGUAUGUUAGUUGAUCUUUAUAUGUUGCAUGUGAUUAUACUAUGCUAACCGAGAGGAGGAUAGCAAUGAGGACAGAGAUGAUGAGAAGACCGAGGAGAAAGAUGAUGGGAAUAUCGAGUUGAAAGCAAAUAUAUCUGUUAGCGCAAAAUUGCUAGAAUGAUUUGAUGUAUUGUUGGAAAAUGUUGCCCCUCAAACCUGUUUCUCGCAGGGCAUGCGUGUCUGAAUAUAAGGCCUAUUGAUUUUUUUGGACGAUCUACCCAUGUUAACCACCAGAUAAAUGAUGGCCCAUGCGCCCUUAUUGCAGUCUGUAAGUGAAAUUGGCUUUACUUUCAAUUUUUGUAUUUUAUUUCCUCAUGAUUUGGAUUUAUUCUGUUUUUUACCACAGGCAAUGUUCUACUGCUCAAGGAGGACAUCUUUUUUGAACCACAUGAAACUGUGGUGUCAAUGGAAUAUCUACUUAACCUUGUUGUCUCUUUUCUUAAAGAAAGUAUGAAAAUGCAGGUUCGCAACUCUUGCAAACUCGAUUUUGGUUGCAUUCAUGGCCUUCAGCCUAAGGUUGUGGAUAUAUUUUUUUCAAUAGGCCCAUUGUUCUGAAAUACAAAGAAAGAUAUGGGAUGUGGCGCAGACACUGGCCACAGGGUUUGAUGUGGACGUUGUCUUCACCAGGUGAUUGUAGUUCUAGAUUUCCAUAUUGGUUCUGUCUCUUUGCUUUGUUGUUCGCGUUGGCUGCUGGCGUUCUGAUAUUUGCAAUUUUGACAUUGCAGAACAGAUGGUUUUACGAUGACACCGGAGUGGUUGCUCCUUGAUUGCUUAGAUCUCAAUCUUCGACAUGGUUGGAUUGCUGCUGGGGUAAGCAAGUUUAUCAUGAGCAUUGAUUAUGUCGUUAGUGCAAAUUUUCUAAUUCAGUCUAUUUGUUGUUUGCCACUGGUUAAUAUUUUAAAUAACCAUGUGCCAAUGCUACAGCUUGGUUUCCCUACAAGAAGACCUCGUUGAAGAUGUUCCAUGCAUUCUGUACUGGAACAAUCAUUAAAAUACUAUAGUUAAGGUGAAAACUCAACGUUUGCUGUAUUUUAUUACUUUAGGAGCUAUGUUUAGGUGCCUUCUAUUUUUUCCUUUUUGACCCGUUUUGAUCUUAUGCAGAUCAAUGGAGUAUUACUUUCUUUAGUCAUUGAUUCAAAUUAUUUAAGAACUAGUGCAGUUUGGCUGACGCUUCAUGAGGUAUGCUAUUCUGUAUUUUUCAUAAUUUCUUUGUGUGAUUGAAAUUACCUUGUGACCAUUCUUAGCUGUGGUUUGUUAGGUCAACGGUGACGGAGUAUAUUCGGACAGCAACUUCACAUCAAUUUAUAUGGGGCUUGAUGCAGCUCCUUCGGUAUGUAUAACGUGGACAAAAAAAAAA
RNAcentral lists this long non-coding RNA (74691 nucleotides) under Setaria viridis. RNAcentral's name for it is "long non-coding RNA (SVIR_LNC001809)". Lineage: Eukaryota; Viridiplantae; Streptophyta; Magnoliopsida; Poales; Poaceae. The record is from RNAcentral.